UUUUUUUUUUUUGUCUUUUUCAAAUCUACUCAACCGAGCUUUGCCUCCUUGUAUUCAAGUAUCUAAUUGAUAAAUAAUGGUUAUAUCCUUGCAAUAUCAAUGCGAAACUUCAACGUGUGAUAUAUAUUAAAUCAGAAAGUCAACCCAUCUCUGUAGCAGCUAGAGAAGAUGUUUUUGGACAGGAGAUUAUUUCGUUUAAUUUUUUUGAAAAUAAAAUAUUGUAACGCUUUAUUGAUGUAAUGUAUGUGAAAUUAAAAAAAUAAUUAAAUAAUAUGUUUAUAAUGCAAGCAGAUAAAUUAUGUUCCAGUUUCCAACCCGGCCAUUUGACAGCAAUGGGAAGAAUGGAGUACCCUAAAUGAGGGCUAAAGGAACCAUCAGCCUUAGGCUGAUGGCCACCACCAAGCCUUUAAGGCUUUGGUGGGGUGGGAGGCAAGGGUUCGAACCUUGCCUCCCACCAAUUUGCCACAAUUGUGGUUCUUCAAAAAAAAAUUCAGACGGGUGCACCACGUCUAGUUCGGUGGUGAUUCUGUCCCUAUUGAUCCCCCAUAAACCCAGUUGGGUCUUCCCCGUAGUUAGAUUAGAAUAGAGUAGGAAUAGAAGUAGGCUAAAGGCUCUCAAGUCUCAACCACUAAAUCAUGACCAAAUCCAUAAAAAUUGAAGUUAGAAAACUAGAAAUAGUGGAAGCAUGGUGCAAAUUAAUUUCGUCCUUCAGAUAUUUUCUAGAAAUUCAGGAAAGUAAAAUGCAAAAUUACCCGCUAUAUAGACGGAUAAAAUUUAGGCAUUUCAUUCGUGAAAUUGCUAAUAUCAUGAAGAAAUUAAUAGAAUCCCCACCUGGAGAAAAGUCACUCGGGUAAUAUUGAAAAAUCUUUUUCAUGCAAGAUUUGACACUAGUUUCCUUCAGCAGCCAUCUGUCAUCUACCAAGUCCUAUAGAUAAUAGUCCAAGUGAAAUCUAAGGACCGUUCUUAGUAUUGAAAAAACAAAAAGCAAUUCGACUUGUUUCCGUGCAUUAUUAUUUUUUUUUAAUCCUGAAGAUGACUUUUAGCAUUGGGGUCUUUUCAAUGCAAAAUUUCUGUUUGACUUUAUAGAAAAAUAUGGGGUUGAUUCUAAUUUGCACCCUUCAACUGUACACUUAUUUCUACUUUGAUCCCUAAACUUUAAAUUGAGUCCUUAAAUUAUACCUCGACCUCCUUUUUGAUUCCUAAACUAUAAAUUGAAAUACUUAAUUUCUAAAAUAUACCACAAUUCUUACUUUCGUCUCUAAACUCCUUUCUUCUUUCUAAUUUUUAAAUUCUUUUGGUUAUAGUUGCUCCCCAUUUGUUUAGUAUUCUGCUAACGAUUGCAAUUAAAUGUGAUACAUUUUUUUUUUUAUAAUUCAGGGACUAAAGUGUUUCAGUUUAUUAUUCAGGAACCAAAAUAAGAAUCAAGAUGCAGUUAAAGAGUGCAAAAUGAAAUUAAUCCUAAAAUAAAUUAGAUGUGGAACUCUUCAUUACACGUCUCAAGUAAUAUUAUUGUUCUUUCAGAACAGACGUGUGUAGUAUGAUUUAAGAUAUUUAUGACCACUUGUUUGAAAGUCCAAAGCAAUUCCCUUUUGGUUCAAGUCAAACUUCUUCAAAUGUAAAGUCUAGCCUUUGGAUCAAGGGUUCGAAUCUUACCUCUCAUAAAAAGUCACAAUAUGUGACGGUUUUCAUUGGCCAUUUUCAAUGGAAUUUCUACUCACAUUGAAUCCUCUUCCCCUCUUUCUCGAGUAGGCUAGAUUAGGUUAUAGGAAUCCUUGCGACAAAAAAAAAAAGAAUGUAAAGUUUUUAGUAUUCUUUUUUUUUUUAGUUUCUUCGUCAUUAUCUCAGCUUUUUCCUUAGAAUUCACUUCCUUAUGAUAAGUACUGUUUAAUACAUUCAUAUCCUUUAGCUGCUUCCUUUUCUAUUUUUCUGGGCAAAAAAUAACCUUCGAAUGUAAUUUAAAAAAAAAAAAAAAGCAAAAUGACUUUCGAAUGGAUGACCAUAUCUUUCUUGACUAUAUCUUAAUUACGAAGACAUCAAGUGAAUUUUUCCAAAUAUUAUCGACCUUGUGCUAAAUUUCCUAAAGCGUUAAAACAUCCCCAGCCGUAUGAACCAUCAAUACGUAAACAAUGAAUUCUUGUUAUAUACCAAUUUAUUUUUCCUUCUCACUUAUAAAGACAAUAAGAAGCAAAAAAAAAAAAAAAAAGGCCAUAUUAAAAAAAUGAAUUUUGUCCGAAGAAGGUAAGCAGAAAUUGGGAAAUAGUCUACAAAAUCUCAGAAAUUAUAACAAACCAAAUUAAGGAAAGAAUAUUAUGGCAUGCUGCAUUUCGUUCUGACUUCUGACUUUGCCUAGAACUAUUACGUACGAUAAAUCAUAAGUCAACCAUAUUUUUACAAUUUUAUAAUGAGUUUGAGUAUUGCAAUAUUGCUCAUAAUGGUCAGCCAGCAUACUGUUUUUUUAACUCACGUAAAUCUUUGAUCACUUUGGUGAUUUUUCAACUUCGAUCUUCUCAUGCCCAUUUUAGAGUUGAAUAAUGGGUAGUAGAAGUAGAUAUGUUAGAGAUUUUGGGUUAAUCAACUUGAGUAAUGUUAGACAAAUUUUGGAUUAAGUCCAAGAUGCGAUUCGUGACGCAUGUCAGUUUGAACAGAAAUCUUUUUCAUGACCACAAUUUCCUAAUUAAAUACAAUCCUCGGGCAGCCCUGUGUCGGAGGGGAUUAGUCGUGUUCGGUGUGGAGUGAGGCCUCCUUUUCCGGGCCGUAGGGAAUUAGUUGGUCCCUAUAAGAAUUGACCCGGACACCCUGUGUCGACAAAAAAAAAAAUACAAUCCUCUGGCAGCCUCCUCCUACACGAAAAAAAAAAAAAAACAAUCUCAAUAGCCAGCUAUCCAUCUGUUCUUCUUCUUUUUUUUUUGUUUUUAAAAUAAUUUUUGGUGAUAGCAAAACCCCAUUCUCCUGUAAAGUUUGCAAAGUUGGUCUCACGUAAAUAUAGUGUAAACUGAAUGAGUUUCUGAUGUUUUUUUUCGUAUGUCUACUCUAACCCCUAAUUAUUUUCAAACCAUUCUUUUUGGAAAGAAAUGUUAAACAUUAGUUUUCCCUUUUAUCAUUUGACCCUAGCCAAAGUGCAAGUAUGUCAAUUUAUGCCUCCCAUUUUGUGAUGGAUGAUACUGCUCAAAAUGUAUAUUUAUGGAACAAUAUACAUGUAUUGUUGCUGCUUCUUAACAUUAAAACUAGUUUCCUUCCUCAUUUAAGUUCACUAGAUUGAACAUCACAAUUUUGGCUUCAAUCCUCUUCUAGCAAUUUCAUGCAAUUAGUGGAAAACGCACACCAUUAAAUUUUUAUAACUUUAAUGGCAAUCAAUUGUUUUUUUUUUAAUACCAAUAAAACUAUUGAAAACGAAAUGGUGACUGCCUCCUAUAGGCCACGAGAUGACAUCAGGUGAUUCUUUGAGCCUAUCUCUGUUUAUUGAUACAUUAAAUUUAGUUGUUGGUUGAGUUGAUCAAGACGUUACAUUUUGCUUAUCAUGCUCACGUCCCUUGGUUUCCUGAUAAUUUACUUUUGGCCACGUAAACUGGCUGGAAUGAUAAAAACACUAAUUCGAAAGAAAAAAAAAAGGAAAAAAUAUUCAGUAGAAAGGGAGUUAUUUCAGUUUUAAAAUGCAUGGAUAAGUAAGGCAUCAAUAUGCAAAGAAGGCUUAAAAGAAAUUAAAUUGUCAAGGUGAAAGGUUUUAAUGGCUUUUUUAUCUAGGCAAAUUUUCUUCUAAACUUUCAAAUUGACAAUUUAACGGAGGAGUUGUAUUUUCCGGCCAAAUGUUGAAAUUUGAUUGAUAAUUUGGCCAAACUUCAAAAGAACUCAGCGUGUAUGCAUCGUGUCAGCGCGAUAUCCAAUUUUUGAUGUUUGAAAAUGAGAAUUAGACUUUUCUUCCCCUUCGAUUAAUUUAAAGGGUUUGAUAAGAAUUUGCUCGAGUUUCGCCAAUUAGUCAAGUUUGAAUAGCUUUUUAUGUUCGACAACUUUCAAAUUUGAUAAAAACUCAUUCAAAUUCAGUUUGGCAAAUAAACGACCUAAGCUUGAACAAAAUUUCAAAUUCAUUAAAACAAUUAAAAAAAUUUAAACAUUAGGAUGUUCGUUUUGAUUGGAUUCAUUUACACCCCUAAGUUUACAUAUUAAUACAUGUAGAACCUAUGUCGUCCGAUAUAAUUAUACGCAAUUCCAUGUCCUAACUCAUCUCUAAUUAUAGGACAAGGUCAAGUAAGAGUAAAAAAAGUCAACUCAAAUGUUGGAUCAUGCAAGAGUAUCCAGCAGGGAUUUAGGGCAUCUGCAAUUAGUUAUCAAGUUUCGAUUUCAUAAUGCAAUGUAUACACUAGUACAACAAAUGUAAAUAUUAAUAUAGAAGAAGCACAAUAGAUAUGUUGACAUAUUGAAUUUUGUGUCUUACAUUUUAUGAUCCCCUUCUUCUAAUUCCAAAUCACUCCAUGAAUCACCAUUAGUUGUACUCUUAUCUUGGUUGCAAAGAAUCUGAAACCAUCUAUUGUACGUACCUGCAGGGCUUAUGCAUUGUUCAUCUGUCAACAAAGGUAUCCCAUAAAUAAAAGUGAUAAGAGUCAUUCUUAAGUUUUACAUGGUCACACUAAUAGUUCAAUUAUUUUCGAUCAUUUAAUAUUAGUCAACGAACAAAUUUGGAAAGGCAGAUUUUGUAGGCCAUGAAAUAGAGCCUCUAUUUUAGAUUUUUCCAACAACCCUGCGAAGGUCAAUGCUUUGUCCUUCUUCUUAUCUUUUAGUAUUCUAUAGGGAUAACCUUGGCGUGUAGAAGUGUGUCAAUAUGCUUAUAUUAUUAGCAUUCCCAUUCACCGUAUUUGACCUGAGAAAGUCCACAAAUUGAAAUGGCUUGCAGUUUAAUUAGGCCUCGGUUUCCUGAUGACCUUCACAAAGGGUACCUUGCAAAGGCUGCCCUUAAAGUAUUCAAUAAAUAGAACAAUACAAAUCCACAUUGAUCAAAACUAAUGUCUAGUGGUGGCACUAAGAAUUAUCGACAGGACAGAUGCCCUUUAACUUAAAUACCGAAAGAAAAUUCAGGUGGCUUUGAUUUGCUAGAUUCUUGGCCAUUUAAGCUAAUCAAUGGUAUUAGCGUAGAGAAAUAGGUCAAGGUAAUGCAUGACUAAUUGGGAGAUUGAACACCAUCAUAAUUAUCGCUAGCUACAACAAGGAUUAUUUUCUUGUUCUUCCUCUUUUGUCAUCCUGAUGCAUUUCGUGUAAGAUGCAACUUCAGGUUAGCAAUUAGUCCUGAUUACUUUUUCUCUUGAUAAAAUAUAAUAUUUCAUUCCAUGAGAUCUACACUAAUGGUAGAAAUACAUUGAAUAUAUCACAGAUACAGCUAAAUUGAAAAAUUACUAGAUAUAGCAGAUUUAGAAAAUAACAAAGAUUACACUAUGAAAUUCCGACGAAUCAGAUAAAUCAUAAGCAGCCCCAUGAAUAUCUAUGCACGUCAACACUAUCAGAUUUGCUAUCCAACUAGUUCAAACUCAAAAUUAAUGCUAAGAUCUAAUGAAAUAACUCAAAAAAAAAUCCCAGAUCUGACAUAUACAUCUAAAAAAACUGUUAGAACUAAUAAAGAAACAAAACAAAAACUCCCUCUAAGAUAUCUUUGUAGAAGAAAACUCUCGCUAGCAAUUAGUCCAGAUUACUUAUCUUCCUUCUUUUUUUUUUGUGUAAGUACUUAAUUCUUUUCAUUGAUGGCAUUUAUUGAAAUACAAGACAGACGAAUUUGUACAAAAUUCUGGCUGCAUUAUUGUCCAAUUAAUUGAUGAUAUUAAUUGAAAAUACAUGACAGAUGAGCUUGUGCAAAAUUCUGGCUGCAUUAUUGUCUAUUUACUUGGAAGGAAUGCUAAAGAGUAUCACUACACCUGUAUAUAUCACAUUAAAUAUUUGGAUGUACUAAAAAUUAAAAAAUGGACACUUCCUUAUUAUCCAACUAAACGGACUAUACACUUCCAUCCAGUCGGAGUGUAGGGAUUUUCAUGUCUCCAAUGGUUAUUUAUCAUAUUUAGGAUAAUCAUUCUACGAUUAUUAAUUAGGAAUCCAGUCAGAGUAAAUUUGAAAAUUGUUUAACUUAAAGUACGUACUGCAGUUGUUAAUCACGACAGCUUGUUGCUAAUUUAAUCCGUUAUGACUUCUGAGCCUAGGAUUGAGCUAAGGAUUUGGUACUCUUGAUUUAGAAAAGGAAAAACAAGUCUUCAUUUUGGGGUGGACAACUUAAAUAAACGUGUUUAAUUAGUAGCAAGUUGCUAAGAGAGAUUUGAGUGUAGUUUGCUUUAUAGUCAUCACCUGACUAAGUAGUUACAUUCAUUAAUCAUAAAAAAAGAAGUAAUCCAUGCAUUAAAACUAUACGCAACUGCCAAGAUGAUUUCUUUUCUUUUUAAAGUACUUACUUUUUCACGGGAUUUGGGGCCUCGCAAGUUCUCGUUCAAAUUUGUUGUGUAAAUUGGGUCUAAACUCGUACAAUUUCGAUGUAAUUGUGAUUCUUAGAUAAGCUUAUUUGUAUAAGUUACAAAUUCAGGUCUUACAUAAAAAUCAUAUUAAUUUCUACCAGAAAUUGUAAGAAUUAUACAAUCGAUUUAAACGGAACAAUAACUCAACUUGUGAGACCUGAGAUCUUUUUCAUGUGUAUUAACCUUAUAGGUAACAAAAUAGAAACCCCAUUUAAGUUCAACUCUUCUUUAGUUUCAAAAAGUACUUUCAACUCUUCUCAAACAAUUAUAUUAACAGCCUCGAGGUGCAAAUAUAAAUCCUGCCUUUUCUUUUCUCGAUCAUAGAGAAUCCAUUUACUCGGCUUUAUUUUAUGACCAUACUUUUAAUUCUUUCUCCUGGUAAUGAUAUUCGAACACUUGUUAACUUUUCACAUACUCCUACCUGCAGGAUUCUCAGGCCAAAUGACGCAUAUACAACAAGCAAAAAGUAUGGGAGAAGCUAAAAUUGUGAAUAUCAUCACUAUUUGUCUUUAUUUGGAGCACCAGCUCGUAUCAACUUUUGGAUGCAUUUCUUUUAUAAGAAUUAUAAGAUACAAUUUCUUAAACUCAAGCAAAUAGAUGCAGUAAUUUGUCUGUGGAUUGAAAAUACUGGAGGCGUUCUUGAAAUUAAGAAAUAGCAGCUUCAAAUUUCUUGAGUAAAUUGUAACUUAGCUAUAUUAAUUUAGUGCUCUGCAGGGAAGAUGUCAAUUGACUUCAUACAUUAGUGCUUUAGUUGAAAUUUUAAAAAGUAAACAAGUCUAGGCAACAAGCUGGCGAAUCCUUGGAAUUAGUUGAUGAGGUGUGAAAUUAAAAGAUUUAAUCUCAGUUUCCACUGAAUGACAACUCUUGAAAAAUGUUUUAAAGGGAUAAUUACAUUUGAUCAGGUUUGAAAUUAGCAGAUUUAAGCUCUACUUGUGACUUUUAUUUAUCUUUCCUUUUUUUUUUUGACUCUUUCUAACAAAAAGGGUAUUAUGUCAUUUAAAUAUCUCUGUUAGUUGUAUUUAUUGCUGUUAUUGAUGGGGGGACAUUGUAAUCUGGUCAAUCCUCGGGAAUUAAUUAGCAGUUUGGCCAAAUUACAGGGGAGUUAAAUAUAAUUAACCCUACUGUAAAAAAUCAAGACCUAAACAAGAAAGAUAUGAGAAACUUAUAUCUAUAUAUAUAUAUAUAUAUAUGGAUUAAUCUUCUAUACACUGACAGUGUAUACACUAUCAGUGUAGGAAAGAUUAAUCCAUAUUUCACCAUUAGAUGCAUGACACAUAAUCCGAAUUUGAAUUUGAAAUCUAAAUUAUAUAUAUGUGUCAUGUAUCCAAUUGUGAUAGUGUACAUACUAUCAAUGUAUAUAAAAUUUACUAUAUAUAUAUAUAUAGCAUUAUUGGUGACAAAAAGGGCUACAACUUUCAAUAAAUAUUUAGCUUAAAGUCACCAAUUCUAUGGCAGUCUAAAAUCUUAAAUAUUGAAAUGUCAAAUGCCUACCUAAGUUUAUGAUCUAUGCAAUCUCACUUGCUAUUUACAUAGGGUUACAUGUUGACGAAUUUAGUUGUAUUCCAAUAUUCCAACACUUGGAAAACAAAUGAUUUAGUCCGAGAGUAGAUGAUAGACCAUAUCCAUAGCACUCCCAGCUAAUAAUUAAAAAAAAAAAGCUGUUUAGUAAAUGAGUGGGAUGUUCAAUAUAAAAAAAAAAAAAAUUGUCUACUCCAAGGCUGUUCUGUCUUUUUUUCUUCCACGUUCUCUUUUCUCUCUCAUUUACCCAAUUAAUAUUUUAUUGGAUAUACCCGAGAAUCUUGACUUGCUAUAAUUUUUUAAUCAUAAUGUCAAUGUUGAUUGGUUGAAAAAAAUAUGCACAAUUUGGACUUCUUGCUACAAAGUCAAGACUAUUAAACCUAAGAAAUUUUAUAACAAAUAAAAUAAUUGAGAAUUUAAUUUCUUAUAAUAAUAUAGAUGAACAACUUUUCUUUUUAACUGUUUGACACUUUCUAAUUCGUGUGCAUAUGAUAUGUUUGAUGAAUAUACAUACAUUUGACUUUUUUUUUUAUAAGACCAAAUACAAUUUCAAUGCAAACAUCAUUUUUUUUUUUUGGUUGUGAGUGGUUAACUUAUAAGAUUAUCAAGGUAUUAUUUUGUAUUAAAGUUUUGAAGUUUUUUUUUUUUUUACAAAUUUCAAAUUAUUCUGUGGGGGAGAGAGGGUUUGAUUGGAUGGUAAUGUACGAAGGAUUAUAAGUAGGAGAUUAUGAAUUUAAAAUCUCUCACUUAUCAAAAAAAUUCUAAAUUAAAAAAAUCAUUAUGCGAAUCUAAAAAAAGAGGGGGGGAUGGGUAGGGAAAGUCUGAAGUUGGGGAUAAUAGUUCCAUUCAGUGAUCCAAUUUGGGCUUCCGUUUCUUUCGAAGUUGGUUCUCUGGUGGGGGUUGUAUGAGGCCCAAACACUUUAAUUUGUAGAGUGGAUCCCUCUUAGUGGGCCAACUUAUGUCCGUAUCACCAUAUCUGAUUUGUCCAACCAAGUCGGAGAGGAAAAUGUCAAAUUUGGCUGAUUUUUUAAAAUUGGCCAGAAAAAUGUCAAACUGACAUCAAUUUUUUUUUUAAAAAAAGUUAUUUUAAAGUCAUUAAUUUAAGAACGUUUAAUUUUUAAUUGAUCCAUCUCGACUAGGGCUGCAAACGAGCCGAGCCGAGUCGAGCUUUGAGCUAAUCGAGCCGAGCCUCGGCUAAAUUUUAUCAAGCUCGAGCUCGAGCUCGAGCUCGACGAGCUGGCAAUUUUCGAGCUCGAGCUCGACUCGAAUCAAGUCGAGCCGAGCUCGAGCUCGAGCUCGAGCUCGAAAAAAAUAAAAAAAAAAUUAUUUUAUUUUUAAAAAAAUAAAUAAAAUAAUAUUUUUUUCUGAAUAAAUAAUAAAAUAUUAAGGAUAUAUCCGUAAUUUCACUAUGAAAAUAAAAAAUAAAAAAAAGUAUAUAUAAUAUACGUAAUUUAUUAUUAAAUAAAAAAAAUAAAAAAAAAAUAUAUAUAUAUACUCAAGCUCGCGAGCCGGCUCGCGAGCUAACGAGCUUAAUAUUCUGAGCUCGAGUUCGAGCUCGAGUUUGACUCGAGCUGGCUCGAGCUCGACUCGAGCUCGAUUAAUGUCGAGCUCGACUCGAGCUUGACUCGAGCCGCUCGCGAGCGGCUCGAUUCGUUUGCAGCCCUAAUCUCGACUAGAUCGAUAGUUUCUGCUAUAGGUUCUCUCUCGUGUUGGGAUACUUUACUAAAUUUGGACAUUUAUCUCCCUCAUAAAUGUUACCUCAUUAAAAUGGAGAAAAUUUCCAUACAUGAACAUGUAAGUUUUAAACUUGGCUUGGAAUAGAAGAGAUUAGAACUGGAUGUGGCUUCUAUUGACUUACUCCAAAGGUCCAAUAUACUAGGAUUGUACUGGUCAAAAGUAUUAUAAACUCCAAAAUAGUAACAUCCAUAAUGAAACUACCAAUACAUUCAAGAAUUUUAAAAAAUAACGAAAUGAUAAUGUUUUAUCAAAAUAAGAAUUUUAAAAGGGAAUUGAGUUUGGUGUAGGAAAAUAAUUUGGAUGACAACUAAGAAAUAUCAAGGUAAUUGAGAAUGAUGAUAAAUUGCUUUUAUUAUGCUUAUUUAACUAGGAAAAAAUUUAUAGUUAUCUUAGUAGGAGAAAAAAAUAAUUUAUAAUUUCCUACAAAAUUAUGUGAUCUUUGUAGGAUAAAACAAGGUAGGAAAUGAAGGAAAAUAAUGAGAAUUGUAUGAUAGAAAAAUCUUCAUUUCAAUAUGGUUAUUGUUUUAUUAAUAUAUUUAAGAUGUGAAACCUUCAUUUUAAUAGUGCAGUUCAACAAAAAGAAAGGGAAAAACAUGCGAAAGUCAAACAAAGAAGAAUUCAUGAAACGAAAGGAGGAAGAAAGUAGAAAUAAAUGUACAACAGCAAUGGUCAUCAAAGUAAUUAUUAGAUUGAUGACAAGUAGUGUGUUGACUGUGGCAUUUGGUUGUUCUGGCUUUGCCACUUUAGUGAAUUCCAUAAUUUUCCAUGUGGCUUGAUGAAGCCAUUCUUUUGGCACCACUACUUCACUUUUAAGUAGCAAACUAAUCAUAAAAAAAAUAUAUUAUUGGUUUUUUAAAAGUUUCUAUGCAUACUAGUGAAGGAAAUGGUUUGGAGUUGGUUGUAUACUUUAUAUGUUUUAGAAUUUCAAAUUUCUUAACGUAUGUUCGUUACUUCUUCCAAUUGUUGCUGCUACAUUUAUUCUCUUUGCAUUUAUAUCUUCUUGAGUUUCACUAAUUGUUUCCAACUUUUAAUACUUUUCAUUCUUUUACUAAUACAAUCUCAAAAGAGGUAAAAAGGGUACAAAGGAAACAACAUUAGUAUCUCACUUCUCAAAAGACAUUUCUAACGAUACUUUCUCUAAUAUGAACUCAAUUUGCUAUUAAAACAUUAAGUUCAGGGGAGCUUAAUGCUAUUUUCGAAACCUCAGAGGUGAGUGUGACCAUUAAAAACCUCAGAAGAGGUUUUUGCAAUUAUUGUGAUGCCCCGAAAAAAAAAAUUUCAAGGUGUUUUCGAAAUGUAUUUUUUAAAUUUUCUACUUUGAAUGAAUUGUAUUUCUUAGUGAUUGGAAAAUAAUUAUAAUUUUAUACCUUCUUGUUUCCGUCCAAUAAUUUUAAAAACAUUUGCAAGGGUUUAAUUGAACUAGUCAAGCUUAUUUGGAUGUGCAAACUAUAUUUGAGUGGAAAUGAAGGGUUUAUUGACAAGAUUUCAAAGAUAUUUCGAAGGGACGGAAUUACCAAUUGACAUUUGUCAAAAUUCCAUUCAACGUUUGACCAACCCAUUUUCUUUGUGAACCGAAGAAGCUACCAAUUUGUUCCAUCUUCUUCCAUUUUUCCUUCUUUGUGGCUUUCCUCUUAGGUUUUGAUGGAAAAAUAAGGUAAAAGUACUAACAACCCACCAAUCUUUGAAGAUACUUGAGUUUAUAUGAUUGUAUGUUGGAUUUGAGCCAUGGAAGUUAAGUUUUGUUGAAGACAUCUCUUGUUUCCCAAUUAUUUCUUUGCUGCCAACUUUAUUUCAGAUUUGCACUCACCACUUGAACUGCAUAUUCGUCCAUGAUAAAGGCCAAAUUAGUUCAUGUUCAAAACAUGAAAGUUGUAGGGAUUUGAGUUAGCUUUCUAACCAGAAAAUUCAGCUCAAUCGGAGCACUGUAGCUUAUGAAAUGACUAAAAUACCCCUAACUGUCCAAAUACCCUGUUUAAUUGACAACUUUUUAUUUUCUCUGAGAUUUCAAUUUUUGACCAUGAAAAUGCAUGAUUUGGCUUUAGAGGUCUUCAUAAUAAAUGUAGGCCUAUGUCUUAAUUUCGAAACACCAUAAGAUUCAUCUCAAUCCGAUAAGUGUAGAUUCAGUUGUGAUUAAAAUGCCACAAGGUGAGAGGAACUUGAUGAUUUUAGAAUUUCCUUUGCUUAAUAUGAUAUUUGUGAUCUAGUGCUUGGACUUGAGUAAGGAAACUAUCUAUAAUGGAUGAGAAUCAUAAGCUGUGGUUGGUGAGUGAUUCCAAAACUGUUUCCAAAGUUACUUUUCGAACUAUUUCUUGCACUGUUUACUCGAUUGCAUAUCAUAUGUGCUUGCGUGUAUGCCAUACAAUGAUUUGGUUCAAAUGAAUGCUUGGAAGUCUUGUGUUUAACACCAACGUCUCCACCUUAAUAACACUUGUCUUGCCUUAAAUGUUGGAGCACCGAUGGCUCCCUUGUAUUGCUUGAUUAUUACUUGAUUUAUUUGAACGUUGGAUGUUUAAGUACAAUGAUUUCACUGGCUCACAAGAGCAAUAAACUUACAUUUGAUCACUGAUUCAUGACAUCAUCUAAAUGCAUUGUUGCGAAACUUAUUUGAUUAUUGAUUUUUACUGGACACUCGUUGAGCUUCUAACUCACUCUAAAAUAUUUAUUUCCUCUCCACAGGGCUCGAGACAAAGAAAACACUUGUAUUAACUUAUUAGUGUGACUGGAUCGAAUAUCUCAUGUAUAUUUUGAAUUUCGAUUCACUUGUGGUAUGUAAAUUCGUGGAGUAUUUGAUGUAGUAUUUGAAAUUUACAUUGUAAUUUAUUCGAAAACUGUAGUGAGUCCUGGCGAGAGUUGGGUAGGCGAUCCGUCGAACCCUUUGGUUUGCCUUAACGGGAGGUAGGGUCGUCACAGUUGGUAUCAGACUUAGAUUUCAGAUCUCUGUAGUGUAUCUUAGGCUAAAAGUUUAGGAUGUCAGACUGUGGGAUUUGUUUAAAAGUUAAGUGACUGCUUGUAGCGAUGAAAAUCAGAUAAGUGGGAUUAAAGUGACUCUUAGUACUUGAUUGACUUUCGAGAACUAUCUUGACCUAAUUAGUACGAGUUGGAAUGUCGAGAACAACAUUCUCUCAAGGGGGAGUGAUUGUGAUGCCCAAAAAAAAAAAUUCAAGGUGUUUUCGAAAUGUAUUUUUUUUUUAAUUUUCUACUUUGAAUGAAUUGUAUUUCUCAGUGAUUGGAAAAUGAUUUAUAUAUGAUUUUAUACCUUCUUGUUUCCGUCCAAUAAUUUUAAAAACAUUUGCAAGGAUUUAAUUAAACUAGUCAAGUUUAUUUGGAUGUGCAAACUAUAUUUGAGUGGAAAUGAAAGGUUUAUUGGCAAGAUUUCAAAGAUAUUUUGAAGGGAAGGAAUUACCAAUUGACAUUUGUCAAAAUUCCAUUCAAGGCUUGACCAACCCAUUUUCUUUAUGAACCAAAGAAGCUACCAAUUUGUUCCAUCUUCUUCCAUUUUUCCUUCUUUGUGGCUUUCUUCUUAGGUUUUGAUGAAAAAAUAAGGUAAAAGUACUAGCAACCCACUAAUAUUUGAAGAUACUUGAGUUUAUAUGAUUAUAUGUUGGAUUUGAGUCAUGGAAGUUAAGUUUUGUUGAAGACAUCUCUUGUUUCCCAAUUAUUUCUUUGCUACCAACUUUAUUCCAGAUUUGCACUCACCACUUGAACUGCAUAUUCGCCCAUGAUAAAGGCCAAAUCAGCUCCUGCUCAAAACAUGAAAAUUGUAGGGAUUUGAGUUAGUUUUCUACCCAGAAAAUUCAGCUCAAUCGAAAUACUGUAACUUGUGAAAUGACUAAAAUAACCCUGACUGGUCAAAUUCCCUGUUUAACCGACAGUUUUCUGUUUUCUCUGAGAUUUUAAUUUUUUAUCAUGAAAAUAUAUGAUUUGGCUUUGGAGGUCUUCAUAAUAAAUACAGGCCUAUGUCUUAGUUUCGAAACGCCAAAAGAUUCAUCUCAAUUCGAUAAGUGUAGAUUCAGUUGUGAUUAAAAUGCCACAAGGUGAGAGGAGCUUGAUGAUUUUAGAAUUUUCUUUGCUUGAUAUGAUAUUUGUGAUCUAGAGCUUGGACUUGAGUAAGGAAACUAUCUAUGAUGGAUGAGAAUCAUGAGCUGUGGUUGGUGAGUGAUUCCAAAACUGUUUCCAAAGUUACUUUUCGAACUAUUUCUUGCACUGUUUACUCGAUUGCAUAUCAUGUGUGCUUGCGUGUGUGCCAUGCAAUGAUUUGGCUCAAAUGAGUGUUUGGAAGUUUUGUACAUAAAACCAACGUCUCCACCUUAAUAACACUUGUCUUGCGUUGAAUGUUGGAUCACCGAUGGCUCCCUUGUAUUGCUUGAUUGUUACUUGAUUUAUUUAAGCGUUGGAUGUUUAAGUACAAUGAUUUCACUGGCUCACAAGAGCAAUAAACUUACAUUUGAUCACUGAUUCAUGACAUUAUCUAAAUUCACUAUUGCGAAACUUAUUUGAUUAUUGAUUUUUACUUGACAUUCGCUGAGCUUUUAGCUCACCUCAAAAUAUUUGUUUCCUCUCUACAUGGUUCGAAGCAAAGGAAGUACUUGUAUUAACUUAUUAGCGUGACUGGAUGGAAUAUCUCAUGUAUAUUUUGAAUUUCGAUUCACUUGUGGUAUGUAAAUUCGUGGAGUAUUUUUGAUGUAGUAUUUGAGAUUUACAUUAUAAUUUAUUUGAGAACUGUAGUGAGUCCUGACGAGAGUUAGACAGGCGGUUCGCCGAACCCUUUGGUUAGCCUUAGAGGGAGGUGAGGUCGUCACAAUUAUCCCAUACGUUAAAGAGUCCAAAUUGGUCUACUUUGGCUGACGAGUAUUUAGUGUGCUCGCAUGAAGCUAGACACACUGCAGGUCCUUAGGCCUUGGUGUAUUCCUUAAAGCAUUAGAUUAUUAGGCAUUAGCUACUUUAUCAGCUUAAUCCAUCUCCAAAGAGGGAAAAAGAAACUUGUUAUUGUUGUGGUGCUUGUGUGUUGAACUACAGUAAUACACAUUUAAGACGGGAUUAUGAUAUGUGAUAAGAUAAUGUUAGCACUUGACACAGAACCAUCGUUAUUAAAUCUGGCGAAAGGAUCGGGUUAACGAGUCACUGGUUGAAUCGAUAAAUUCUAAUUUAAUAUUUAAAAUUAUAAAAUAGUAAUUUUAAUAUACGUAAUAUAUCUAAUGAAGUGCUUUUAGAUACUAAUUAUUCGACUUAAAAAGAUAAAUAAUGAAUAUAUAAAUAUUCGUUAUACGUCAAAUUGUGUUUUUACUUGCGUACAAUAUAGGGUUGACGGGAUUUUUAUAUUAAUACAAGUUUAAAACCGAUUUUUAUACCCGUUAAACUGCAAGUAUACAUGCCAAAAUUGUAAUGUAGGGUAUGUAACGGGUCGAUCCCACAAGAAGCAAAUUAACCAAUUACUAGGUCCUUGUUUUCUCUAUUAUUUAGACUUAUGAAUAAAUUUGAGUAGAGAAAGUAUAUUGCUAUUGUCUACAAAUCUGAUCUAUAAAUUUAAUUUAACAAAUGCUAAAUGCAAUUGGAGAAAUUUUACUCAAGGAUGAAUCUAAGGAUGUAGAUUCCACUUAUGGCAUAAACAACACAAAUAAACAGAUUUACCUCUUGUUAUUAUUUUUGUUUAACCAGCGAUUCAUUUUCAAUUUUACCAAGUCUCAUUUUCAUGAUAAAAUAGCCUAAAGCAGUCCAGUUUUUCCUAUUUUCAUGGUGAAAUACCAGUUAUACUCUGUUUUUCUUCAUGAAAUGCUAGAUAAUCCACUUAAGUGUAUCUAUAUUUUCAUGAACACACAACUCAAGCUCUACUCAUGUUUUUCCAUUGUUACUACCAAUUCUCAUUGAAUAAUAACAACUAUAAACAUGCUAUUGGUGAUCAAACAAUAACAAACAAUUACAACAACACAAAAUAGACAAGUCAAUACAACAUACAACAAGUGUAAAUAACAUUCAAUUUAUAUCAUUUAACCAUAAGUUUCAUCUACUCCCUAGAUAAAGAAGUUUAACUACUCAUGAAUGAUAUAACAAUCAAACUCACAAGUUUAUUCAUGCAAAACAUCAUAAAAUAUAAGUACAAGAAAGAUAAAAGAAAGCUUAGGCCAUUGAUGGUGAAACCCUCAAAUUUCUGCUAUGUUCUUGUACAAAAUGAUUACAAGUGAAAACUUCAAAUGCUUCCUCAAGAACUCCUAACUAGAGAGCAACCCGUUGCAAGAAGAAAAACUAGCUACAUAUGCUCUGCCCUAGCUUCUCCCUUGAGUUUCUGCAUAAAAUGUGGUAGAAAGGCACUUUUUUUCUUCUUCAUGAUUUUAAUCACUCAGAUUUUGUAAAGGAAAUCAAAAGAUAUGUUGUUUUGACUUGUUAAUAACUCAUUUUAUCUUCUCUUUUGUUGCAGAAGCAUGUACCACAGAAUUCUCUCUCCCAAGAUAGCUGAAAAGUUGUGUAAACGGUGAGAAAAAACGGUUGUGCCACUUGCAGAAGAGAAAGGCAAAUCCGAGCCUCGAAUCCGAGGAGUGGAGAACGAUCCGAGGCCUUUCUCUUAUAGAUCCGAGGUCGGAUCGUUUGACCUCGGAUGCACUGCUCCAGAAAUACAGACGAGGGCUCGAAUCUCCAUCUGUUCACACAGAUCUGAGCUCAGAACUGUGCUGAUUGAUUUCCAAUUUUUUUUUUACUUCUCUUCUUUUUUCUUCAUUUUUGCUCCUAGUAUCCUUGUACUUUAUCCUCCAGAUGAUCCUUAUAUUUUUUUCGUCAUCUCGUACAUGAAUUUCAUAUAUCAAUAUCCUUCACAUUUUCACAAAAUUAACAGUUAAUCCACUCAUUUAUCAAAUUUUGAAUACUUAAAUAAUAUUUAAGCAAUUAUCACCAAAAAAGUUCAAAUAUGAUUUUAAUCUUCUCAAAACAUACCAAAAGUUCAUGCCAAACUUGUACAAAAUGUAUGUUAAAUAUUCACUUAUCAAAUUCCCCCACACUUGAAUCAUUGCUUGUCCUCAAGCAAUUCACACAAAACUUACUACAAUGAUUCAAAAGAUAGAACAAUAUACAUAUUUUGUCAAAUUUAAUUUCUCAAAACCUAGAAACAAAUCAUUAUACCAUUUCUCAGAUUACACUAAAUACUCAUUAUAUUCAGUUAAAGAAAAAUAAUUAUGCCUUAAUUUUAACAAAUUUAACUCAAUCUCUCAUUCUAUCCUAAUUCCACAAAUAAGUAAAUCACAUAAUCAAUUCUAUGGCCUUCCUCAUCCUAUAACCAUCAAAAUUCAACAAUUAAGAGGGAUUUAUUCACACUUCAUUUUACUUAAAUAGUGAAAACGUUUUUUUAUGCGAAAAUUGAUACUUUUAGGUGAAAAUUUUCGGUUACUCAACAUUUCACUUAUUCAAAUUGCUAAACAUACUCUUAAUUUCAAUACCUUUUUACGCGAAUGUUGACAUUUGUAAAUUUCAACCCUCGGUUACUCAGUAUGUGAAUCAUUGGAGUAGAAAAUUAAUAAUAUAUAUAUAUAUAUUUAACAUAACAUAAAUAUGUUUUCUUUUCCCUCCGAACAUAAUUAAAAGAUGAAUCUGGCCUUGUCUAGACUAUAUCAAUCACUUAUUUAUAAAAUUAAGUAAAAAUGAGAAAUAUCAUUAAACAUGUAAAAUUCUAAGCAUAAAUUUUCUUAUUUAGCUGAAUAUAUUUUCUAAAAUGUAAAAAUCCUAAUUGCAUAAUCACUAGUUUCAAGCCAAUGAGGACUAAACCUUCUAAAAAUACAUAUAACAUUUUAUCCAAUGGAAGAAUUAGGCACUUAAAAUUGAACAUUUUGGCCAUUUAUUGCAAAAGUGGAAUGAAAUAUUGAAAGAUAUUUUAAAAAAAUUUUGACAGAAUUUUUCCAUAUAAAUGGACAAAACUCCCUGUCAAUAGCCUCAAUUUCAAGAAAAUUAAUCUCAUGACAAUAUUUUCAAAUAUGAUUCCAAUAUUUUCAAACCAUAAUCAAUUAAAAUCAUGCACUUCAAGAUACAAUCACCCAUAAGAUAAAAUAAUCAUUCCCCCACACUUAAAAUUGACAAUGUCCUCAUUGUAGAGGAAGGUAAAGAAACUAAUACUCCCCUCAAAAGAAGUAGUGAUGCAAUUUGAAACCACGAUCAUUACGAUUAUCCAAAUUCUACUAGCCAAAUUCUGUAGGAAGGAAAAAAUAUAUAUGCAUAGAGAGUGAGACCAUUCCAAAAGUUUUAAGAAAAACAGAAAAAUAACAAAAAGUUAACACCAAAUCGAAAAUAAAGGAUGAAAAACUAAAUAAAAGCCGAAAAUAGGUUAAUGUAUACAGAAGGGACGCCAAGCUCAGUCGCUUCAGUACUGUCGCUCUACUCAGGAGCUUCAGUGCCGCCAACCUCCUCACGAGCUUCAGUCUUUUCAUCGGCCCUUGGCUUAGAAAUCGGUGUAAGGGAGCAGCGAAUGUGAAAAUGAUCCUCGAUCGCACAAAGACGGCGAUCAUGCCUGUCUAGUCGCUCCGUCAUUAGCCGCUCCGUUUGAUCGAUGCACUCCAUUACCCUCGUCUCCAUGCAACAUAUGGCAUUGAGGACCUCUUGCCACUUGGAUCGCGACGGAGGGAGUGGUCGUGGAAUGGGAGGAGGAAGAGCCUGCUGUGCAUCCGUUUCUUGAAUUCCCUAUUCUGGCUCAAUGUGAGGUGGGGUCUGAACUGAGAUCGAACCUUCUCCAACAUUCCACACCAAAGAAGCUCCAAAGUCCGUGAGUAUACCCAAAGAUUUGAGUAUCGAGGCAUUGACCUCCUCGGCGGCUCUAGUGGCAAUAGCUCGUUCGGUUCCAAGAGGAAUCUCGAGCUUCUCAAAAAGAAGGGACAGAAGGCGAGGGAACCCAAAACAGGUUUCGCCGGCCCUCAUGCGAGCUGUAGUUCGCAUGUAAUUGAUGAUGAUACUGGUCAGAGGAAUACCAGUCAUCUUAUCCAAGAAAUAUAAAUCACUAUUUUGGAGCUCCCUUUUUUCACUCAUUUUCGGUACCACAUUAAAGACGAAGAGAUAGAAAAUCAGGUGGUACCUAUGCUCGAAGGAGUCGGCGUAUACGGUGAGUUUUUUCAAACUUCGUCGCUCACGGUACUGACCCUUAAGACGUGUCACAGCUUCUCCCACUUGCCAUGGAUCACGUGUCUUAAACUCCUUGGUCAACUUUACACCCACUCCUUCAUUCUUGAGUUUGACAAAUCGGGCAAUGGUGUUCCGGUGGAUGGUCACUCUCUUGCCUCGAACCCAAGAGACAAUUAAAUUGGCACUAUGUCCAUGUCUAUCCUCAACAUUGGCGUAGAACUCGUAGACCAAGUUGGGGUAGUAAUGCCGCGGUAAUCCAAAUAUGUUCUUCCAUCCAAGUUGCUUGAAUGCCGUGGAAAUCUUGUAAUGAUUGUCCAUCUCAAGUGCUAAGUACUUCUCAAUGAUAAUCUCCUUGUCUAGGCCUGCUUCAUACCACUGUUGAUUCUCGAGCGACUUGAAUCUAGUGGUGUCAUAAUCUGGAGGUGGCUUCUCGCGGCUAGUAGACGCGGUUUCUCGGCGAGAGCGAGGUGGGGACUCAGGUGAGGGAGAUUUCUCAAUUGAUGACUCCUCGUUUGACGGAGUACGUUCCUCUCUCGAAGACGGCGAAGGAGUGCGAAUACAAGAUCAUCUUGUGCGAGCCAUGGUUCCUAUAUCAAAAACAAGAUAAAUGCAAAUUAGAAGCAAUAUAAACCGUACCAAACAUGUUGGAAAGUGAUUUAAGAAAAUUUCGACAGAGUUUCCCCUAUAAAAGGAAAAAACUCCCUUCCAACCAUCAACAAAUUCAAGACCAUAUCAUACUUAAUCAAUUCUCAAACUUAAUUGCAACAUAUAUAAUAUCACCGUCAAUCCAACAAUCGCCUCACAUGGCUUGAAAAAAAAUCCACUCACCACUCCAUCUCUUUAAAUUUCAAACAAUAAGAAAAACGUAAUGACUAGAAAUACUAUAGGCUUGUAAAGUCAUUGGGUACACAAUCAAGAUUGGAAAGCCAUAUGAAAGUCACGUUUUACUGCUCUUGGUAAUAUCAUCUGCAAUUUCAACCAUUUCACAUUUUCGCCCAAAAGAAUUCAUACCAAGUUAUGCAAAUAAUCAAAUGUUAUCCUAUAAGUGGCAUAAAAAUAAUCUUCACUUCUUAAAAACAAGCCAAACUUAGCCAAAGAAACAAGAAAUUGCAAGCAAAAAGUACAAUAUGCCUGAGCCUAAAAUGUGAGAAAAAUUCUUCAAAAAUGUCAUUGAAUUAACAAUUUUCUCAAUUCCAAACAUAUAAGCAUUUUUAAUGACCUAUAAUAGCACCAUGUGACACAAUUAUAAAGAGAGAAUUCAGCAUAUAUGCAUUUCCCAAUUAUAGAAAAAUCGAAAAAAAUAUUAAGAAUUAGAAAAUGUAAAAUGUUGAAUAAAAUUGAAAAUUCUUACCUCAAGUAUGUAGAGUGAUGCUAGAGGAUGAUAAUUGUGCAAAAAUGAUGAAGAAAACAAUUCAAAUUCAUCCUCAAAUUUUAGAAUUUCAGUUCGGCCCUAUUUCCCGUUUUGAAAAUCAAAACCCACCAAAUUGAUGUUUUUGCUUCGAAAUUGUUGAGGGUUUAUGUUUACAAGAGUCUUUGGGAUGUUUUUGUGGUGAAAGAUUAGCGGAUUAAUGGAGAAAAUAAGAUAUUAGAGAAGAGGGUUUAGGUUUUCGGUGAAAUAGGAAUAGGAGAAUAGGAAAAGUGCAGAACCGAGACUGAAGUCUCAGUUCUGCCCAUAUCGCGAACUGAUCCGAGGUCGUAUCGGUUCUGGAAUCCCUCAGAUCCGAUAGGACUCGGAUCAGCUACUCCAGAAGUUCAGCCGAGCCCUCGGAUCCCCUAUUUUCGCUUUUGAUCUUCAACGGAUCCGAGCUCGGAUCAGCACAAUUCUGCACUAAUUGCAGAAACUGCAAUUUUGUUAAACUUUUUCUCCCUUUUCCGGUCAAUUUCAAAUUACACAUAGGACAAACUUUUUAUCAAAUCCAACCUCCUACGCAAGUGUAAUAUACCAUAAAUACAAUAUCCAACCUCUUAAAACACAUCAAACACAUCUACAUUGCAAAUCGAGGGGUGGGGUUCUUUGAUCAUUUUUGCACUUUUACACCAAAAUGGUACCUUUAGGCAUAAAUGCACAUCAAAUGAGUCCAUGAGUAUUUUAUAAACAUGUUACCACCGAAACUCACUUGAAUAUACUGGAAAUGCACACUGUAUAUAUGAAUGAGAAUUCUAAACACUUAAAAUACAAUUUGGUAAAAAAACCUCCUUUUUUACACUUGUUUUUCAAAUGCACCACCAAGAUGGAUGUUAAAACUCCGGUACCUCCUACAAAUAAGUGAAAUACAUCUAAUUAGUCAAUUAAACCACACCAAAAUUUAAGAAACACUUAAAAUACACAACUACAAUAUUAUUAUUGGAUUGCCUCCCAACAAGCGUUUUGUUUAAAGUCGUUAAGCUCGACUCUCCUGUAGCUUCUUUAAUUCUCCAUUGUGUUUCCUAAGGAGUAAAUCACUCCUUUAGGAACCCUUUCUCCGGUCAAAUAAGGCUUCAAUUCUUGACCGUUCACUUUGAAUGGGGCACCAUUUUUUCCUUUUAUUUCCACUGCUCCAUAAGGAAACGUGCGAGCCAUUUCAAAUGGCCCGAACCAUCGAGACUUAAGUUUUUCCGGGAAUAAUUUAAGUUUUGAGUUAAACAAUAACACCUUCUGCCCUUCUUCAAAAUGCUUAGGAAGAAUAUGUUUGUCAUGCCAGAAUUUUACUUUUUCUUUGUAAAUCUUGGCAUUCUCAUACGAGGUCAAUCGCAAUUCUUCCAAUUCGCUCAACUCGAGCAUUCUCUUUUCACCUGUAGAUUUAAAAUCAAAAUUAAUAGUCUUAAUAGCCCAAUAAGCUCUAUGUUCUAUUUCUACAAGUAAAUGACACUUUUUUUUUUUAUAAACAAGCUUAUAUGGAGACAUUUCCAACGGCGUUUUAAAUACCGUUCUAUACGCCCACAAAGCAUUUUCAAGCUUAUUUGACCAAUCCUUUCUCGAUCGGUUGACAGUUUUCUCCAAAAUAAUUUUAAUUUUCCGGUUGGCCAACUCCGCUUGACAUUGGCUUGAGGAUGAUAGGGAAGUAUCAAUAAUUUUAUUGUAAAAAUGCUUACCUUCAUUGCUUAUUAUUGCCUUUGGGACUCCAAACCUACAAAAUAUAUUCCGUUUAAGAAAUUUAAUAACAACUUUAGCAUCAUUAGUUUGUGAAGGAACGGCCUCCACCCAUUUAGAAAUAUAAUCAACUGCUAAAAGGAUGUACUUAUUAUUCUAUGAUGUAGGAAAUGGUUCCAUAAAAUCAAUACCCCAAACGUCAAAUAACUCAACUUCCAAAUAUGUAGUUAGAGGCAUUUCAUUCUUUCUUAAGAUAUUGCCAGUUCUUUGACAUUGAUCACAGCUUUUAACCCAAUUCUAACAUUUCGGUACAUAGUAGGCCAAUAAAAUUCAGAUUGUCAAAUCUUUGCUACGGUCUUAGUUGUACUAAAAUAACCUCCCGUUUCAAGGAUAUGACAAUGCAAUAAAAUACUAUGUACAUCUUUUUCCGGAACACAUUUUCUAAUUAUUUCAUCUGCACAAUGUUUGUAAAAGAAUGGUUCUUCCCAAAAAUAAUGUUUAGCGUCAUUUAAGAAUUUUUUCCUUUGAUGAGAAUUCAAAUCAUUUGGUAUCACUUCACUAACUACAAAGUUAACUAGAUCAGUAUACCAUGGAGACUUAUAAAUUUCCAUUAAAAACUCAUUUGAAAAUUCUUUUUUAAUGGAUGAAUGGUCUUCUUGAGGCAUGUUCUCCAGUCUAGAAAGAUGAUCAGUGACCAAGUUCUCGGAUCCUUUUUUAUCUUUGAUCUCCAAAUCAAAUUCCUGCAAUAAUAAAAUCCAUCGAAUUAGUCAAGAUUUUGCAUCUUUUUUAUUUAAGAGAUAUUUGAGUGCUGCAUAGUCGGUAUAAAUGAUAACUUUAGAUCCUACUAAGUACGAUCUAAACUUAUUCAAUGCAAAAAUCACUGCUAGCAACUCCUUCUCUGUUGUUGCAUAGUUGACUUGGGGUUCAUUUAGCAUUUUACUUAUAUAAUAAAUGGCAUAAAAUCGCUUAUCAUGUUUUUGUCCAAGAACAGCUCCAACUGCAAAAUCACUCACAUCACACAUCAAUUCGAAUGGUAAGUUCCAAUCCGGUGAUACUAUUAUAGGUGCGGAGACAAGUUCCUUUUUCAACCUAUUGAAAGCAAAUAAGCACUCAUCAUUAAAGUAAAAAGGAACAUCUUUUGCAAGUAAUUCACAUAAAGGUUUAGCAAUUUUGGAGAAAUCCUUAAUAAAUCGCCGAUAAAAUCCCACAUGUUUAAGAAAGUUUCGAAUGCCUUUCACAUUGGUAAGUGGAGGCAUUCUCUCAAUAACCUCUAUCUAGGUUUGAUAUACCUCAAUACCUUGUGAAGAAAUUUUGUGGCCUAAAACAAUACCCUCACAAACCAUGAAAUGAUAUUUUUUUCAAUUGAGUACAAGGUUUGUUUCUUCACAUCUUUGCAAAAUUAGAUCUAAAUUGUUAAAAUAAUAAUCAUAAAUAGAUCCAAAUACAGAAAAGUCAUCCAUGAAAAUUUCCAUGAUUUCUCAUUAAAAUCAGAGAAAAUUGUUAUCAUGCAACGUUGGAAGGUGGCCGGUGUAUUGCACAGUCCAAAAGGCAUUUUUCGAAUUGCAAAAGUGCCGUAAAGACAAGUAAAUGUGAUUUUUUCUUGAUCUUCUUGUGCGAUGGCUAUUUGAUUAUAUCAUGAAAAAUCAUCCAAGAAAUAAUAAAAUUCAUAUCCGGCCAAUCUUUCUAUCAAUUAAUCAAGAAAAGGAAGAGGGAAAUGAUCCUUUCUAGUGGCUGUAUUCAGUUUUUUAUAAUCUAUACAAACUCGCCACCCAACCACAACUUUAGAGGGAAUCAUUUUAUCAUUUUUACCACGUACUAUGGUUAUCCCCCCCUUUUUUGGUACUACAUGAAUAGAAGAAAUUCAAACACUAUCAGAAAUUAAAAAAAUUAUACCUGCAUCCAAUCAUUUUAAGAAUCUCUACUCUUACCACUUCUUUCAUGUUUGGAUUUAACCUCCUUUGAAUUUCAACCACCGGAUUAGAAUUUUCUUCUAACAAAAUUCAGUGCAUACAAAUAGUUGGAAUGAUUCUCUUGAUAUCAGAAAUCGUCCAUCUUAUAGCCUUUAAAUGCUUCCUCAAAACACGUAAGAACUUGCCUAGUUAUUUCUCAUCUAGUGCAAAAUUUAAAAUCACCGGCAAUAUCUCUUUUUCUCUAAGAAAUGUAUAUUUGAGGUGUUUAGACAGUGGUUUAAACUCAAGCCGUGGAACUUGUUCACACGAUGGUGGAGGUAAUAUUUUGCUCAGUCAUAACUCCUCAUACGCAUUUCUCCUUUUGUAAGGAACUUGUGCCUGCAAAAAUUCAGUCAUUUCUUCAACUUGUUCCUCUUGUAAGCCUACACCAUUAAGACAAAAUUCAAGAGAAUCAUCAUCAAGAUUAACUUGACUCAUCUCUGACGCCAAUUCAUCACAUAUAUCAAUAGAAUAAACAUGGUCAGUAAAAGAGGGAUACUUCUCCACUUUACUCAAAUCAAACUCCACUUCCUCUUCACCAAUUUGGAACUUGAACUUACCACGUUUAACAUCUAUUAUUGUACCUACGGUGGCCAGAAAUGGUCUACCAAGUAUAAUAGGUACAUUGACAUCCUCCUCCAUAUCUAAAACAACAAAAUCAAUAGGAAUAAUGAAUUUCUGUACUUUAAUGAGCACAUUCUCCAAUAUGCCCAUUGGAUAUCUAAUAGACCUGUCAACCAAUUGCAAUGAAAUGUUAGUACGCUUUAAUUCUUUCAAUCCCAAUUGCCUAAUCACAAUUAAAGGUAUCAAUGAAACACUUGCACUAAGGUCACAAAGUACUUUAGAGAAUUCAACAUUACUAAUAGUGCAAGGAACUACGAAACUCCCUGGAUCUUUCAACUUUGGAGGCAAUUUAUUUUGUAUAAUGACACUACAUUCUUUUGUUAAUGCAAUUGUCUCACUAUCUACUAACUUCUUUUUCUUAGUCAUUAUAUCCUUGAGAAACUUUGCAUAUGAAGGAAUUUUCAAAAUAGCAUCAACAAAAGGAAUGUUAAUAUAUAAUUGUUUGAAAAUGUCGACAAACUUUUCAAAUUCUUUGUCAUUUCUCGAAGGAUUCAAUCUUUGAGGAAAAGGCAACGGUGGCGGAAUUGGUGUUGUAUCUCCAAUUUGUGGCUCAUUUUCUUCCACAAUUUCUUUCCCUUUAAUUUUCUUACUAUCCUCUCUUAACUCACUCAAUUGCUUGUUUUUCUCUUUUUUCACAUUCUCUCUCACUUUCAAUUACAGGCGGCUCACCUACUUCCUUACCACUAUGGAGGGUUAUAGCCUUCACAUGCUCCCUUAGAUUCACCUCAGUCUUGCUAGGUAAAUUCCCUUGGUUGUGAUUGUUAACUGCAUUUGCUAUUUGCCAUAAUUGGACAUCAACAUUCCUGUACAUAUUGAUGAGUUGGUUCAUCUUUCCCUCAAUUCUCUCAAAUCGUUGAGUAGUGGCACUGGCUAACUUUUCAAUUUUAUCAUUUGAUACAUUUGCCAGCUUCUCAAUUGUCAAUUUUCAAGUUGGUUUGGAUUCUGGAAGUGGUUGGUUUCGAUUGAAAAUUCGGUGGAUUAAUUGGUCUUUGUUGGUUCUCUUGAUCCUUCUAUCCAAAAAUUAGGUGAUUAUACCAUUCUGGAUUGUAAGUAUUAGAGUAUGAAUUAUUUUGGGGUAAACGGUUGUAAUUGUUGAGAUAUUGAACCUGUUUGCUACUAGAACACAUAGAAUCAUCAUGAUCUCCGCCGCAAGUAGUACAACAUGCAACAACUAUUCCUUGAUUAGAGUUAGAACCAAUAUGUCUAUUAAGCAGCUUAACCACAUUAUCCAUCUUUGCACUUAACAUAUUCAAGAUAUCUAUUUCAAGCAUACCUGCGGUUCUCCUUGUAUUAUCUCGUUCGUUGGCCCAUUGGUAAUUGUUAGCAGCUAUUUCUUCAAUCAAUUAUUGAGUUUCCUCGGUUGUCUUUCCCAUCAAUACUCCUUCCGUUGCCGCAUCUACAUGCGUCUUUGUUGGAUAGGUGAGACCAUUGUAAAAUGUUUGGACUACUAGCCAAUUUAGUAAACAAUGAUAAGGACAUCUUCGUUGUAAUUCCCGAUAGCGCUCCCAAGUUUCGUACAAUGUUUCUCCUUCCUGUUGAGAGAAACUAGUUAUAUCCAUUCUAAACUUAGCAGUUUUUUCAGGUGAAAAGAAUUUAUUAAAAAAAGUCUUAACUAAUUCAAUCCAAAUAGUAAAAGUGUUUGGAGGAUGAAAUUGUAACCAAACCUUAGUUUUAUCCCUUAGCCAAAAUGGAAACAAUCGAAAUUUAAUUGCAUCACCACUAACACCAUUAAACUUAAUUGUAUCACAAAUUUCAAGAAAUGUUGACAAAUGAGAAUUUGGAUCUUCGAUAGCAUUACCUCCAAUUGAGAUUGUUGUACCAUUUGAAUCAAUGAUGGUUUAAUCUCAAAAUUAUUAGCAUUUACCGUUAGCUUUGCGAUGCUAAUUUGAGAUCCUUGUGUACCCGGUAAAGCAAAAUCUUGUAGAAUUCACCUAUUUGGUUCAUUUUUCGCCAUUUAUUUCUCAAAAUGUAAUUCUAUCAAGAUUUCUUCUAUCGGUUGUCAAACCUCUUGUUCCUCUUGAUUCGAUGGAUUCCUCCUUUGUCUCCGAAGUGUCUUCUCAAUUUCUGGAUCGAAAAGUGCAACUUCCCGAUUUGAUCGGUGCAUACAUUACAAAUAAAAACAAGAGAAAUUUUUCAGUUUUAAUUGUUAUAAUCAACUAUAAACAACUUGAAUAAAAACAAUUGAAAUGUCUAAAUUAAUAGAGAUAAUUAGGCUCUAAUAUUGCUGCUCCCCGGCAACGGCGCCAAAAAUUUGACGAAAUUUUUAUAUCAAUACAAGUUUAAAACUGAUUUUAUACCCGUUAAACUACAAGUAUACAGGCCAAAAUUGUAAUGUAGGGUAUGUAUCGGGUCGAUCCCACAAGAAGCAAAUUAACCAAUUACUAGGUCCUUGUUUUCUCUAUUAUUUAGACUUAUGAAUAAAUUUGAGUAGAGAAAGUAUAUUGCUAUUGUCUACAAAUCUGAUCUAUAAAUUUAAUUUAACAAAUGCUAAAUGCAAUUAGAGAAAUUUUACUCAAGGAUGAAUUUAGGGAUGUAGAUUCCACUUAUGGCAUAAACAACACAAAUGAACAGAUUUACCUCUUGUUAUUAUUCUUGUUUAACCAGGGAUUCAUUUUCAAUUUUACCAAGUCUCAUUUUCAUGAUAAAAUGGUCUAAAACAGUCCAGUUUUUCCUAUUUUCAUGGUGAAAUACCAAUUCUACUCUGUUUUUCUUCAUGAAAUGCUAGAUAAUCCACUUAAGUGUAUCUCUAUUUUCAUGAACAUACAACUCAAGCUCUACUCAUGUUUUUCCAUUGUUACUACCAAUUCUCAUUGAAUAAUAACAACUAUAAACAUGCUAUUGGUGAUCAAACAAUAACAAGCAAUUACAAUAACACAAAAUAGACAAGUCAAUACCAGAUACAACAAGUGUAAAUCACAUUCAAUUCAUAUCAUUUUACCAUAAGUUUCAUCUACUUCCUAGAUAAAGAAGUUUAACUACUCAUGAAUGAUAUAACAAUCAAACUCACAAGUUUAUUCAUGCAAAACAUCAUAAAAUACAAGUACAAGAAAGAUAAAAGAAAGUUUAGCCAAUUGAUGGUGAAACCCUCAAAUUUCUGCUAUGUUCUUGUACAAAAUGAUUACAAGUGAAAACUCCAAAUGCUUCCCCAAUAACUCCUAACUAGAGAGCAACCCGUUGCAAGAAGAAAAACUAGCUACAUAUGCUCUGCCCUGGCUUCUUCCUUGAGUUUCUGCAUAAAAGGUGGUAGAAAGGCACUUUUUUCUUCUUCAUGAUUUUAAUCACUCAGAUUUUGUAAAGGAAGUCAAAAGAUUUAUUGUUUUGACUUGUCAAUAAUUCAUCUUGUCUUCCCUUUUGUUGCAGAAGCAUGUGCCACCGAAUUCUCUCUCCAAAGAUAGCUGGAAAGUUGUCUAAAAUGUGAGAAAAAAUGGUUGUCACUUGCAGAAGAAAGAGGCAGAUUCGAGUCUCGGAUCCGAGGAGUGGAGAACGAUCCGAGCUCGAUCAAGGUUGAUCUGAGGCCUUUCUCUUAUAGAUCCGAGGUCGGAUCGUUUGACCUCGGAUGCACUGCUCCAGAAAUACAGACGAAGGUUCGGAUCUCCAUCUGUUCACACGGAUCCGAGCUCGGAUCCGUGCUGGUUAAUUUCCAAUUUUUUUUUACUUCUCUUCCUUUUUCUUCAUUUUUACUCGGAUCCGUGCUGGUUAAUUUCCACUUUUUUUUUUACUUCUCUUCCUUUUUCUUCAUUUUUACUCCUAGUAUCCUUGUACUUUAUCCUCCAGAUGAUCCUUACAUUUUUUUCGUCAUCUCGUGCAUGAAUUUCAUAUAUCAAUAUCCUUCACAUUUUCACAAAAUUAACAGUUAAUCCACUCAUUUAUCAAAUUUUGAACAUUUAAACAAUAUUUAAGCAAUUAUCACCAAAAGAGUUCAAAUAUAGAUUUAAUCUUCUCAAAACAUACCAAAAGUUCAUGCCAAAUUUGUACAAAAUGUAUGUUAAAUAUUCACUUAUAAAGGGUUACUCGCACCAAAUCCCUUGAACUUUUAAUUCGAUGAAUUUGUCUUGCUCAACAAUUUAGAUAGGCAUUUUACACCUUAUUUAUGGUUAUCCUCAAAAUUUAGAAACGAUAAUUUCAAAAAUCUCUCCUAUAUUAUUCAUAAUAUCACUUAAUGCUCUUAAGAUUUUAGUAAUCUCACUUAUCUCUCCUAUUAGUUUGAUAGGAGAAGAUGUUUUUAUCAAAUAUCACAAAUUGACGAUACUCCCCUUGUACUCUUUAUUUAUUUAUUAUUAUUUUUUUUGGCAAAACCCCAAACCGGGGGAGGGACGCCACUCCUCAAAGCUUUAUUAGAAAUAAACCCUUGUACUCUUUAUAACUAUUCAACCAAAUAGCUCUAAAACAAGAAGAGAAAUUUUUAACCAAAAAAAUGGACCAAAAAAAAACAAACCAAAUGACCUUGCAAUAUUGGUCCAUAUUUCUUUGUGUCCUAUGGUGGUGAGGCUAACAAAGGAGGUGAUUAAAUUAGAUUUAGUCAAUGCCCCCUUGAAAAAACUUUGGUAAUUAAUUAAUAAAUUGGAGAAUUUUGUAGAAUGGAUUUAAGGAAAGCCAAACAAGUAUGUUUUGAGGUAACAUACUUUAAUCUAUAAUGCUAUUUAAGCUAUACAAAAACACUAAAAUAAUAUUUUCAUAUGUGUAGUUUACACAUACAUCCCACUUAUUGAAUAAAAUUAUAAAUCAACUAGUAUUACAAACAUUAAUCUAAAAGUGAUCUUAUGAUAAAAUAUCUAGAAACUGUUUGUGCUAUUUUUUUUCUUUACCAAAACAAUGUCUAUCAUGCUAGUUGAUAUGUUGCUUCAACUUUACUCUUUAUUAAAAUUAUGGCCCUCCAUAUUUUCACUUUUAUUUUUUAGUCUAUGUUCAAUUUUGUUUUUGUUGUGAACUUUAUAAAUAGGAUAACAUAAGGAUAGCAUUGAAAAAUUACUAUUAUGACUCUUGAUUUUCCUUGAAAAGAAGUUGAUAUCUUACCAAAAAAAAUGUCAAUUUGAGAGGGGUAAGUGAACUUUUGAAAACUUCAAGCAUGUGAAAUGAUAUUAUGAGAAACCUCAAGAUAAUUUUCUAAAAUUAUCCAAUUUAGAGUGGUAGACUUUACUUUUGAGACUCUUUCUUUUUUCUUCUUUAAUAGAUGCAGGCGCACCAAAAAGAACAAUGUAGCCAUCACAUCGUAUAAAAUGCUCUUAAACGAUCAGCUAUGCCUAUCGAAGUAAUUGGGAUGACAAAUGGGAGCAUUUCAAUUUUCAAAAAAAAAAAAAGUGCAGAAAGAAACUAGGGAUAAUUUCUAAUACCUCUCCUAAAGUUUUCAAUAAUUUCAUUCACUUCCUAUGAGAUUUGCAAAAUUACACUAAUCUCUCAUAAAGUUAAGGUUUUGAUAACAAAAUCUGUCAAAAUCAAAAAAAAUAUCAUUAAAAGAGUACUUUAAGAAAAGAGACGAAACUUUUAUUCCAUAAAUACCUCUUAUGUAUUUGUAUAAGUUGUAUUAAUAAAAUAAUUAAAAGUCAGAAAAAACUAGAACACAUAUUUUACUAUUUAAAAAAUUCACAUUUAAUACAUUAGACAACACAAAUAAGUAACAAAACUAUACUAAUGAUUACAAAAUUCAGCUAAAUAGACCAUUUAUCUCAUUUAAUAUGAGGUUUUGUACGAUUCUUGUGAUUUUGAAUAGAAAAUUUUCAAAUUUUGCCAUUCUUCCCUCUCCUAUCUCUUUCACUUCUAUGAAAUUACUUUACAACUAUCACAGUUGUAAGAGUUUCAAAGAAAAUUUUCUCAUAAAUAGUCUUUUUUUGCCUGUAUUUUCUUUCUUCUAUCAAAACCCUUCUUUUAACAUUCUAUAUAACUAAUUUCUAGUCAUUGUCAAGUUCUUUCAAUUACAAAAGGGUUAAUCACAAAAACUACCCUAAGAUUUAACUGAUUUUGUACUUUACCUCCUAACAUUAUUUUUUGUCCACCUUACCCCUUAAACCAUUAGUCAAAUUUAACAUUACGUAACGAAAAUGUCAAAAAGACAUUGUUACCCAUAACGGUUAAUUACAACAAAUACGUUUAAGGUAUAACCAUUUUGCACUUCACCUUGUAAUAUCAUUUUUCUGUUAAUUUGUCUAUUGUCCCUAAAAUCAUUAGUCAACUGUAAUAUUUUGUAUGACUCAAUACAAAUAAUUAUUAAAAAAUUAAAAUUCCUAACAUAAUAUUAAAAAUUAGUGAUAAUUUCAGAAACCUUCCCUGAACUUUCUCAAAAUAUUACUUAGCUCCUCUGACGUAUACAAAAUCUCGCUUACCUCCCCUGAAGUGAUUUUAGGAACAUAUGUCAAUGUCAGAUGGUAUGAAUUGUCAAAAUUAGCCUCAAUUCUAUAGAAAUUAUUUAGUUGCAAAAAUUAGAGAAGAACUGCAAUGUAACAGAAAGGCCUGGGAAAGAGAUGGCGCCAUUCUUCUCUCUACUUGUAGCAAAGGCACGAACUUGUGUCAGAAUGGUCAAGUCUAUAAAGGGCCUGACGUUUGUAUCUUAUUGAACCAUCCUUCUUUUCUCUCUUCUCUAAAGAACUAGAGAAAAGCUUCAACCAUAAAAGGAGAAAAUUGCUCAUCUAGAGAAUAGAUCUCCUAACAAAGGCGUGAUUUGGCAAAUUUUAUAGCAAAACAAGUAAAAAUCUUUACUUUUUGUUGUUGUAAAUGAUCAUGUAAUAAAUAAUAGGACACUAUCAGGGUUGUAAGACAAUUUGAUGCUUCAUAUACUAUGGAGUAUAAUGAUAUCCAUCGUUUAGAGGGACGUGGGGCAUGGAAGGUUGUCAGAUCAACCGUCCCUAAACAGUGUAAUUUGAAUAUUUUAUAAUUCUAUGUAAACUUCUUAUACAUUUUUACAACAGGUUGCAUCUCUGUUGUUAAGUUUUACAAGUAGUUCAUGUAGAGUUACACCUUAUUCAAAAAUUAUUACAUAAUUCCAAAUGGUUGUUACUAACAACCGUCCAAGCCUCGUAUCCCAUUUAGAGUGGUGAUUAACCUUAAUAUUUUCAUGAUCAAAAGGAAUAACAUAAAAUAUGUGAAAACUGAUUGUUUUCAUAUAACAAUGAAGAGAUGUUUUAGAGAUUUUGAGAAAUACUAGAUGAUCAAACCAUCGUAGCUAUGUUUUCUAUUUUUAUUUAAUUAAUAAUUUUGUUGUGCGUGCAAAGUAGUAUUCAGUGUAUCUAAAGUUAGAUGCUUAAUAAUAUGUGUAAUUUGAUAGGCCAGUUGAGAGUUUAGUUUUAGUUUUGAAACUUGAUCUUUAGUUUCAAUUUGAUGGGCCAAUACUAUAUUUGAUAUGCAGGGUAUGAAUAAGCUUAUACUUGAUUACAUGUAUAAUAUUGUAAAGGGGUAGUGCAUAAUUAUAUAUUUAGUAUAUUAGUUGUACCUUGUUGUUUAAAAAAAAAUCAUGGCAUAUCAAGAUAAAAGAGGUUGUUUCUUUGCCUCUUGAAGCUAUUACUUGUGAUUCUUGGUUUAUCAAGCCUGUGAAGAAAGUAUGAUGUUUUGAAACUUUGAGUUUUAGUUUGAACUUCAUAGACGGCUAGUGCAUAAUGAUAUAUCUAAUAUGAUAGCUGUACCUUACUGUUUAGGGAAAUUACAUGACUCUUAUGAAGAUAAAAAAUAUUUUUCCCCUUUUUAAAGUUAUUACUUGUAAUUCUUAUAAUAGUUGUCUAAAACUUUUCCAAUUAACACAUUGAAUGUAGGAUAGGAACUAUUGUUACACUUGAUAUUGUAGUCCAUUACAUGGGAACAAGAGUUAGAAUUUCAAAUGUUGAUCCAAAAAAUUACUACUACAUUAACUCGCUAAAAUAUGUCGUAGAAAAAGCAAUGAAUGACUUGCCUAGAAAUUUGAAUCUACUUUUGCAUAUAAAGUGUGGAAUUCCCUAGACAGUUGGUUUUAUGGACAUUAUUGAUGACAAAUCAGUCCUAGAUAUGUUCAAACUCCAUGAAAAGGAUUUUGUUAUAAACUUGUAUGUGGUUCACAUGGAUGUUUUUCGUACAACAGAGGAUAAUACCUUAGAGAACAACCAAAUUGGACAUGAACAGGAAAACUUAGGACUUCAAAACAAUCCUAUACAUGUUCAAGACAGUAAGGGUGAUAAUGAGAUAUAUGAUUCUAACUCUAAUAACUCUUGGAUGACUGAUCUGGAUAGUGACUUGGAAGAUGUUAUAGCUGAAGAUAGGGUGUCGAUUACUUCUAGUGAGCAGAGUGACAUUGACAUGUCUAAUUAUGAAGACAAUAAGGAUGGAAUUAUCGUAUUAGACUCUGAAUCUGACAAAGAGGUUGAUCCUGUGAGAGUAGUUAUGAGCUCCAAAAUAUGGACUUACAAUCCAAGAGAUGAAAUUGAAUUUGAGAAAUGGAUGUUUUUUUACCAAUGUGGAUGUUUUCACGACAGCUUUGAAGGAUUAUGUAAUUCAAAAAAUAUUUCCAUUGGUGAGAUUAAAAAAUGAAAAGAGUAGAUACACUGCCAAGUGUGGUACUCAGGGUUGUAAUUGGAGGAUUCAUGCAUCCCCAGUUGCUGAUACAACUAUAUUCAUGAUUAAAACAUAUAAUCCUGAGCAUACUUCUGUUAUGAAUGGAAAAAAUGCAGAGGCAACCUCUGAUUGGAUUGCAAAGAAACUAAUAUAUGUAAUGAGAGGCCAUCCAAAGAUGACAAGCAAGGGAAUAAUUGUUGAAAUGAUAAAGUAUGGAGUUCAUCCAAGUAGAAUGCAAAUCUAUAGGGCAAAAAAGAAAGCAUUGGAAGAGAUAGAAGGGUCACAUGUUGAGGCAUAUGGAAAGUUACCAAAGUAUGCUGAACUUUUGAGGAUUAACAAUCGAGGUAGCAUCAUAAAAAUACAUUAUAACAGACCUAAUCUUCUCGUGGAACCCAGAUUCUUGGGCUUGUUCAUAAGUUUCGAGGCACAGAGAGUAGGGACAGGUGUCAGAUCAACCAUCCCUAAAUAGUGUAACAUUUUUUGAUUGUUUUGUAAUUCUAUAUAAACUUCUUGUACAUCUUUACAAUAGAGGUGUAAUAUUUUGUUACUAUUCUUAUGGGUCCAAUAUGUAAUAAUUGUAUUUCUGUUGUUAAGUUUUACAAGUAUUUCACGUAGAGUUACACAUUAUUCAAAAAAUAUUAUAUCGUUCAUAACGGUUGUCAGCAAGCUCUUAAAACAAUUUUUAGAUUUCUUUGUCUUCUUUGGUUUGCAGUUUUCUUCCUAGUUUUUCUAAUGGAGUAUUGGUCGCCGUAUACUGCACUAAUUAUUUUUGGAUUAUGGCUAUCCAACUAUGACUCUGGUAUAACAUUACUUAUUUGGAUUUCUUUUGCCUCUCAAUCUACUAUGUAAAAUGGCUUGUUGCUGCUUUGAGUUAUGGCUGUUUGUGCCUUUUAUUGAUGUUGCAACAUUUAAACCAGCCAUUGGUUUCAAUAGUGUACUAGUUGUUGAUUGCAAUAGUUUUUCUUCUAAUCACACUUUUGCCCCCUCAAUCUCAAAUCAUUUUAUUUGUAAACCUUUUUCUUUUUCCUAGUUUAUUGCGCUGCGUCUCUCCCGAGGCCGGGACCUUUUAUCAUGACUUCUGCUCGUUGCAGCGGGUGCUGGAUUCAUUUUGAUCAGUCCGGAUGGGCACGAGCUCACCAGCUAGCGCGCAACGGCUUUUCAGCCGUUGUUGCUUGCUGCUUGCAGGCUCGAAAAUCUCUCUUUCGCCUCUCCUCCCUGUUUCGGAUUUGAUCCUAUCUUUUGUGCCUUUAAGCCUAAUAGAAGUUCUCGCACUUACAAAAUAGAGGCACAGAAGGAAGACUUAAGUCGUCUUCGGCAAGAAUCAGAGAACAGAGCGAGUCUACAAAUUGUUGGAGGACAACAAAAAAAAAAGAAAAGUGUCAACAACUUGAGUCCUCAAUGAUUUUUUGGGCUCUAAGCCUCCUAAGACGGAUUGCUCUUCUAGCCGGAACUCAAGUCCAGAUCCAAGGUUCAGUGAUGGUUCAAAACCAAGAGCUGGCCUUUGGUUUUUAGCCCACCUUCAAGUGCCAGACCCGAGUGAACUCACCCCUACUAAGAUAAAUGGAAGUCACGCACUAGAUUCCUUUUUUCGGAAGAAAAGAAAGAAGCAAGAACCAGGGGCUCCCCUUUGAAGGUGGAGCUUCGCGGGGAUCGUACGUCAGCCAAGGCCUUAGACCGGAGCGCGUCCCUCGGGUACCCCGAAAGGGGGAGCUCAAAAAGGAUCCCGGUAUAUCUAGAAAACUCGCGGGGGUACAGUAAUUGGGCAAAUCCUCAUAGGUAACUUCGAAUGUACUCCAGAUCCUAUUGAAACUUGUAAUAAAAACAAUCUUCUUUUGGGAUAGCCUAAGGGUAUUAAUGGCACAAAAAUAAUCUCUCUCCUUUAACUUGCAUUUUCUAAUAUUAUUUUUAAGCAUAAGAGCUUAUAUUAUUUAGAUAGAGUGUUAUUUGAAAUAUAAUUUGGAAUAAUUACGAUAAUAUUUUUUGUGAUGUGAUGUAUGUGAGAUAAAAAGGUGAUUGAAAAUAUAAAAAAGUGAAUUGAAAAAUGUGAUUAUGAUACAAGCGAAAUAUUAUUUAAAAAAAUUUGAUAUCCAAACAAAUCCAUUGUUAACCAAAUGUUAAUUCAAAGGGAGGUAAGUGAGAUUUUGUAAACGUCGGGGUAGCUAAGUGAUAGUUACAGAAAUAUUGUAACAAGUAACAUACCUUAUGAGGCUUAUCCCUAUAAUUACAUAUUUUUAGAUAAAGAAAAAUAUCUUUCUUAUCUCAUAUGAUAAGGGAAAAAAUAUCAGUGCAAAACUAAACUAUGAAAAUAUUAUUAAAGGUCUAUUAAUGUGUUUGUUUGAAUUGGAGAUUAUUUGGAAAUUUUUUUUUUAGAAUAAUAGUACUUUUUAAAAUUUGAUAUUUGUGAGAUAAAAAAGUAGUUAAAAAAUAAAAAAGAUUAUUAAAAAACGUAUUUAGAUGCAAUAAAAAGUUUUAGAAAAAUUUAGCAAUCCAAAUAAAUUUUAAUAGCAUCUACACAUGGUAUAUUAAAAGAACAACUCUAGAAACUUUAAAUUCCAAAUCAAACAUGUUUCUCUUUUUUAAGUAUUACCAACAAAAAAAAUGUAUACCUCUAUAUAAAAAAGUAUCUAGCUACUAAAAGAAAAGUUUAGCCACGUGUACAUUCUCAAAGAGAAAUUGACAAUAUUUUGGUCAUUUUUUAAGUUUUAAAAAUAUUGUCACAUUUUAGUUUUUUAAUAACAAUUUUUCUUUCUUUUAAAUUUCUUUCUUUUUUCCCAUUAUUAAGUCAAAUUAGCAAGAUAUUCUUCUCAAUCUAAAAGAAGUACAUUUAUGGAAUGAAAUUUAACUAGAACCAUAUAUAUAUAAUCAUUAUUAGUUAUUAUUAUGUUAGGAAUAUUGAUUUUUUAGAUAUUAAUUGUCAUAAGUGUUAUCAAAUAUUGGAAUUCACUAAUGAUUUUAGUAACAAACAAACAAAUUUAAAAAAAUGAUGUUAAGGAAUAAAACACAAAACAAGCUAUACUUGGGAUUUAUGUAGAGGUAUAAAUGUCUUUUUGAUGUCACUAUUACACAACAUUAGAGUUGAUUAAUGGUUUAGGGGAUAAAAUGAGAAAAAAAUAACGUUACGGAACAAAGUGCAAAAGUGGCUAUACCUCAGGCCUCAGGGAGAGCUAGUGAAGCCAAUCGCAAAUAACACACACACCCAACCCAUAAGCAAAACUCACAGCCCAACACCAAUGACUUUUAACCACUCCGCAAUUCCUUUUCUCUCGAAAAGACCAACAACAAAUAACACACACCCAACUCAUAAGCGAAACCCACAGCCCAACCCAAAAAAUAUGCUGACUGUCAGGCCACACUGAGGAACUUAUGAGCUACGCACACACACCACUCACAAUCGAUGUGGUCCAAGAAACUAUUAAAAGUACAAAAGAUACAAACAGACAAACAAAUAAAAAAGUGCCUGACACCAAAAACGACACUUCCAUGCUUGGCCUGCCGCACUAUUGAAAAACGUGGGGCACUUUCAUUCCACACUCUUCUUGCUAAAAGGGCUUCUAGUACUUCAGUCAAGUGAAAGAAUUCCAUCCUGUUUUCUUCAAGGAAAUCAUGUAUAGACUAAAGGGUUGCCGGGAAUUGAGGAAGAGAGCUCCUCAAAUUGCUCUCAAUUGGUUCAGCACGUUCAGUUUUUCUAGGUAAUGUUAAUGUUUUUAUUGGGAUUUUGCUGAGGCUUUUUGCGUGUUUGAUUUUGUUGAAUUUUGUGACGAAGGUUUUCCGAGGAUCUUUUCAUCUCUGUGAAUCUGUGAUUGUGAUUUGUUUUUUGAAAUUUGAUCAGACUUCAAAUGCAUAAUUAGAGCUAUAAAUUGUUUUUGAUAAUUUUAUUCGUCAUUAGAGGUGAUCAGAUUAUUAUCCGCCUGGCAUAAUUGCACUGAGCACUACUAUGUAAAAGGAGGCCCAAAUUAGUGAAAUGAAGAUACUUGAAGAAGCAAAGUUUUGAGUAGGCAUAAUUGAAUUCCAAAACCAUGUUCUAGCUUGCGAUUCAAUUUGCUUGCAUGGGCUUCCUCUUUCUUUUUCAUUGUUUAAUUGCCAAGAACAUCUACUUUAACCUUAGAUAACUUUUUUCAUGCUAUCUUCAUUGGUGAUGCUUGACGUCUUGGUUGUUGCAUGCUUGUCUAGUUGCAGCAUUCCUCUUGAUCUCCAUGCGAAAUAAUAUCUACUAUAAGCCAGUAAAAAUGUGAUUUUGUCAGCUUUGAACUAUGAUGAUGUAGAUUUAGAUCUUUGGGGAAACAUGAUGAGAUUCGGGUUCUAUAGUUUUAAGAAAUGUUAGCUCGUUGAAGUACAAUUUGGUGAAACCGGAAUAGUAUUCAGAUAAGGUGAUGCAUGGCUAAUGUUAGCUGUCUUGGUCUUGUAGCUGCAUUUAGUAAGUGUGAGUAACUCAGUUUGCUAAGUUUUUCUAUGCUGUUGCACAAGUUAUAGCUUAAUGUUGUUGUGCAUCACUAGUGCUAGCUUACUGUUCUAGUAUUGCUGCAUUUGAAGUUGCAAAACACAAUUGUCUGUGAAGAUGAUGUUAGUUAUGAUGCUUUAGUUUUAGAUUUUACGGGUAAAAAGGACUUUGGUUUGGUUGUGAAACAAGUUUGUGCCAUGACGUAUAGUUUAAUGAAAAUUACUCAGACAAGAUGAUGCGUUAAUGAAUGUAUUGUUCCUUAUUGCUCUAAUUGCAAGUGAAACUGUGGUAACUUUACCAGUUUUUCUCAGUGGUUUUUCAUUGGGAGUCUGACCAUUAACUUUUGCAAAGUGCAGAUCAACCCACUCUGUAUCUUUUGACCCCAUAAUUACAGCUGAAGAUAUAUCCGGUUCAAAACCUGCAGCAGUACAGAACUUGGGUAAGUAACACUGGUUUACCAACUUGUAAUACUGAAAACUUGUAAAAUACGUCUUAUCUCAUGAUUUGAAACAGUUAAUGUAGACGUAUAAGUUGUUGCUUGUGUAUUCUUGUGUUCCCCUCGAAUGAUUCUGUAGGCUGAUAAAGGGUCUAUAAUCUCUUGCAAGAUAAAAUGUCCUGAAGAAGGAUGUUGUCCUCUUUAGUGCAGGGUAACUGGACCAGACCUUCUAAUUGGACUACCAUAGUAGAUCCAUUGAAUGGAGAGCCCUUCAUCAGUGUCUUUGAAGUGGAUGAAAGAGGGUUACAGGUUUGCAACACGUAAUUGUACUAGAUCAACAUUCUGCAGUCUGUUCAAAUUGAAAAUUUGUUUGUUAGUAAUAGCUAUAUACCCUGUGAAAAAUCUUUGCCCUGCUUUUUACCUUUCACUGAUAAAACUGGGAUGCUUCUUCUAUUCCUACACUUGUUUUUUUUUUAACUCUUUGAGAUACAAUUUUUCAUGAAUGUAAAGUUGGCAUGACCAAUUGUUACAGUGCCAAGCAACAUUCUUUGCCUAAUUUGCUUAUGACUGGACAUCUGUCACAAGAGUCUCAUGCUGUCCGAUGCUUUUGCAGCCAUAUAUAGAGAGCUUGCACAAGUGCCCUAAACAUGGUCUGCAUAAUCCAUUUAAGUCACCAGAGAGGUGUGAGUUCCUAAAGUUCAUUUUUUUUUAACCUGCCUUCCUCAGAACACGGCCCCCUUUUAUUGCUAUUCCUAUUCCUUCUCUUGUUUGGCUUAUUCGACAUCGAAUAAAUAAUAUGUCAUACUAAUCUCCGUACUGGAAGUUAGUUUGGUAAUGUUUUAUUCACUUGUAAGAAAGUCAAAAAGAUGUUAAGAGAAGUGUUUAUUUCAGGUAUCUUAUGUUGGGGGACAUAUCUGCAAAAGCAGCUCACUUGCUCUCUCUGCCCAAGGUAUUAAAUUAUGGAGACAAAAAUGUUAUGCUGUUAACUGAUCAUCUUAUCAAAUGUUUGGCUUUCUGGAUCUUAAUUUGUUUUGUUACAUAUUGUCUUAGAUAUCUGACUUCUUCACUAAGUUAAUUCAAAGGGUGUCUCCAAAAAGUUAUCAGCAGGCUUACGGUGAGGUUUACGUUACACAGAAGUUUCUGGAAAACUUUUCAGGUGAUCAGGUACUGGAGUUGUUUAACACCGCAGCUUGUUUGUUUCUAUUAUUUUUCUAGCCUAUAAAUAAUAAUUGGUUUUAGCUAUUUUGAUUUGACUGUGAAGUAUUUUCAAUGUCCAGUUGGUAACUAGAUUGGCCUGAUAAAAGAUCAUAAUUUGUUGAGUAAUUUAUUUUCUUGCAAUUAUUUAGCCUGUGUGUGUGUGUGUGUCUAUAUCUUUUCAAUAUGUUUUUAUGAGUACAGUCGUGAUGCAUAUUUUCUGUAACUGAAUAAAUAAAUUGGUCUUCAAAUGUUUUUAUUAAGCUACUUCUGUGUCUGACUUCAUUUAGUACUUUCAAUUUUGUAUCCUUUUCUUUUCUUUUUUUUUUUGAGCCAAUUUUGUAUCUUAUAUUCCAUCUGUGCACAUUGACAGGUUCGUUUCCUUGCAAGGUCUUUUGCUGUACCUGGAAAUCAUCUUGGUCAGCAAAGCCAUGGCUUUCGAUGGCCUUAUGGUCCUGUAAGAUACUUAUUACAGGCUCUUUAUUCUGAUGUGUGGGAUGGAUAAUAAAUAGUAUGCAGAAGUCACAUUUAGUGACACCAAAAUUGAUGUCUUUCAAUUAACGAGCAGAUGGUUCACCUAAUCUUCAAAAUAAAUAGAUUAUGGUUACAUUCCAUACACCUGAAGUUGAAUGUUUUAGCUAAGUUAAAGACAACUAAUUAAUUAGGUGCCUUCGGUAGACUAUGAGUGGGCCCAAAGUUUUGUUGUAAUUUUUCUGUUUUAAAGAUAUGCAUUCGAUUGCUGGAGUAUGAGUUGCAGGUAACCUUAUUAAGUGCAAGUUUGGACUAUGGUGUUUCUUGCUAGAAGUACUUCCAUCUAAAAUGUGCUUCUGAAUGUCUUCAAUUGUUUGGAGACAUUUUUCUGAUAAGAGAAAGAGGUGAGCUUAAAAAGCCUCUCCCGGAUCUUGAUCCAAAAGUUACAAUGCAGCAAAUUGAGUGCCUAAACUUCUGCAUUUGAACAUCAUAUGCUCUAUAGCUAACAGAUGAUAUCCUCUUGUGCUAGAAGAGCUAUUUAGUUACUGUAUUUAGAAUAUUGCCUGUUAAGGACAUGGGUAGGUAUUAACCAUGAUAAUUUGAUGUAGCUGACAUAUAUUAGCAAGUCCAUAGGAAUGUAGGACAUAGGACUGAAGCAGAAUAGCAGUAAAGAUGAAUAACUUCACUUUAUGAAAUGAUGAUUGUACAAGAAUAUUCAAAUAAAAUUAAUUAGGCCUUUGGACUCAUCUCUUUGAUCAAUAGUAAUCUGAAUCUUCAAUGGCUGAAGAAACCUUGUAUCUGUGCAAUGUAUCUAUGAAUUUGAAGCAGCCAAUCCCUAUAUUUCAUGGAUACUGAUCAUUCUUGCUUUUCCUUAAUGAUUUUUCCUUAAUGAUUAAGUAUUUAUUUCAGGAUUUUUGGUUGAAAUCUUGUGAAAUAAUUUUGCAGGUGGCAAUAAUUACUCCAUUCAAUUUCCCAUUAGAGAUCCCCGUCCUUCAGUUGAUGGGUGCACUCUAUAUGGGAAACAAACCAGUUCUCAAAGUUGAUAGCAAGGUAGGUAUUUGAAAAGGCAAACUAAUUAAUGAGUCUAACCUUAUAGUCAAGUCUGGAGGACUGGCCAAGCAUAUUGAUUCUCCAUCUUGCCGAACAAAUCAGAGAAGUUAUUUGAAUGGUUCAGCAACCUUGUACCGGAAAUUAAAUGUUACAGACAAUUAGUUUGAUUAAAGGUGUCACUUUUAUGGGACUUCUUCCUCUUGUAUUCCUGCUAUACCUUUUCUUUUUUUAAUCUAGUCAUCUUCUCUUUCACAUAAAUGCUUGGGCAGGGUGUACUCUGCCGCAUGCAAACACAAACAUAUAUGUUAAGAAUGCUUCCAUAGGCUGGUUCAUAUAGAUUUUGAACGAUUAUGAUCAUUGGUUGUGUUCCAUAGGUCUCCAUUGUUAUGGAAAAAAUGCUGCGACUUCUCCACGAGUGUGGUUUACCUAGGGAGGAUGUUGACUUCAUAAAUUGUGAUGGAAAUACCAUGACCAAGCUACUUCUUGAGGUAAGUUUAUCUAAAUGUGUCUUCAUGACUAAAAUUGCUUGGAUAUUGCCUCCUCACCAUGGAAUUUUCUCUUCUACCAUCUGCUGCCAAAUUUAAGUUCAGUCAUUUCUCCCAAAAACUUUUUGGUUUGAAUUUACAUGAUCACAAAUUAUCUGCUAUAGUUCUUUUCUUGUUGAUGGACCAAAUUGGUACAAUUCUGUGCUGAGAAUAGCGUUUUUAGUCUUUAGCAGACAUAAACUCAUGCAGCUCCUAUUCUUCAUUUUUUCUGCAUAAUGAUUUUGUUUUUAGGGAUUAUUCCCUAUAAUGCCUUAGUUCACAAGAAAAGCAGAAAUAGGGUAAAAAGAGAUUAAUCUACAGUAUCAUAAAAGGCAAUUCUUCUUCCAAACUACUUCAGGCAAAACCACGCAUGACUCUGUUCACUGGUAGCUCGAGGAUAGCUGAAAAAUUAGCUGUCGACUUAAAAGGUCGUAUCAAAUUGGAGGAUGCUGGGUUUGACUGGAAGAUCCUUGGGCCUGAUGUUCAGGAGGUUUGUGAAAGCUUACAGCAUUCAAAAGUUUGACAUUUUCUAUAUGAAUAAUCACGUUGAAAUUCACACCAAAUAUUAACUAAGCUAUAUCGGUAGGUGGAUUAUGUUGCCUGGGUCUGUGAUCAUGAUGCUUAUGCAUGUAGCGGUCAGAAGUGUUCAGCUCAAUCAAUUCUUUUCAUGCAUGAGGUCAGCAACAUCUGCCUGAUGUUUUAAAUUUUCAUUGUUUGAUAUUGAUAUGCUGUAUUAUAAUAUAGCUGAUGAUUAACAAUAUUUUAUGCAUUAAAACAUUGUUAUGCUGGUGCAGAAUUGGGGUAGAAGUCCGCUCCUGGAUACAAUUAAAAAACAUGCUGCAAGAAGGCAGCUAGAUGACCUCACUGUUGGCCCUGUCCUUACAGUAAGGGCAAUGACUUGCUUUCUUGUGCUAAAUUGCCUCCAGAGUGAAAAUGACUCUGGAAGAUUCUGCAACUUUUAUUAUUAAUAGUUGUGUUUAUUUUUUAUUAUUUAGAUAACAAGUUGACCAAACAUGACCUGAUUGCUGUGUGUUCCUGGAAAUCCAUUGAAUUCUGAUUUUGCUGAAGAUGCACCUACCACACAUGAAAGGAAUGAGGAAUAGUUCAAAUUCUCUAUUGUUAGAUUUCAGUUUACCAGUUGCAAAACAGUUUUCCCGAACUAUACCAUAUUAUUCUGAAUUCCAUGUCAUUCAGCAACUGAACUUGCUCAUUUCUUUUUCUGGGUCAAAGAUACUUCUGUUCUAUGUCUAGUUGAAUUGCUUCAUUUGACCAAUGAGCGACUGGCGGGUUUUCUAGGCUUUCUAGCACCUGGCCUCUAUGCAUGCUUGUUGGGAGAAUUAACUUUGGACUUACCUGGUCCUCCUAAUGUAUGUCAGCAGGAGGAGGGAAUGAAACAGAUUAGCAUUUAGGUUCCACAAGCUUUUUGUAGCCACUUAAUUGAGGAACUUUUGAGUUCUUUAAGAUUUCAACUUGGGUUUGUGUGACAUUUCCAUGCUCCACAUAAUAUCUUACCUGUGCUAUUGAAGUUAUAUGGGAGAAUAGGUAUGACUACAUAUACAGUGAGUUACUUAUGUCAUGGAAGAAAGACCAUGGCCCUUGUCUAGCUGUCUUCCUUUUCCAUACCCUCGAAGACCUAUUUGUCAUUAAACAUCUCAACUCGCUAUCAGGUUGAUGAUUCACACUAAAUGAUGAACUAAGUUAUCUAAAUGGAGCGCCAUGGACCAGUUAGUGAUGGCUUCAAGCACCAUCCAGGGAGUUUAUGAGCCAUUGUUAAAUGUCAUCAUCUCAUUUCCUUUUAUUCUUUGCAGGUUAAUACAGAAGCAUUGUUGCUUCACAAGAACAAAUUGCUUAAGAUACCAGGAUCAAAGUUACUUUUUGGUGGUAAAGCAUUAACAAACCAUUCUAUUCCUGCAAUAUAUGGAGCAAUUGAACCAACUGCAGUGUUUGUUCCUCUUGAGGAAAUACUUAAGGACGACAAUUAUGAAUUGGUGACAAAAGAAAUUUUUGGUCCAUUCCAGGUAAUAAAUAUGACAAACAAAUAGCAUCUUGUACUUACCAACUAAGCUUUCUGAUUGAGAUCUGGAAAAAGUUUGAAUAUGACUUGUUCUUUUAUGUGACCGUUCCCUGUCACUGAUAGAUAUGAUCAUUUGUGUGAUAUUUUAUUUCAGAUUGUUACUGAAUACAAAGAUAAUCAGCUCCCAAUGGUAUUGAAUGCCCUUGAAAAAAUGCAUGCACAUUUAACAGCUGCAGUGGUUUCAAAUGAUGUGCUCUUCCUACAAGUAAGUUUCAACUUUUUGUUGGUUGCCUUUUUAAUGUUCAAGUUGUGUUUUCCUUUAAAAACAAAUGUCUAUCAUUAACAUCUUUGUUCCCUAUCUCAUCAACUGUUUCAUCUGUUCCACAAAAAUCAAUAUUUUUUAUUUCCUGAUUAUGCAAAUCAUGUAUGAAUUGAGAUUUCGAUACUGGGCUGCAAUGGUUGUCAACGGUAUUUUGAAGUGCUUGAUCUAAAUAGCUAAUAGCAUAGAUUUUGGUAUUGAGACAUGGGGAAAAUUACCUUUAAGCCGAGAUUUCCUCAAGUUGGACUUUAAUUGACUUCUUUCUUUUAUGACCUGGGGGAAAUGAAUAGGAACAUAAUUUAAUAAAAUUGAUGCGAGAUCGAUAUCUGAUGUAGGUUGCGCUCAAUUCUGUUAAACUUGUGUUGUCAUGGAAAUUAAUGUUUGCAAAAAGUUUGAACCCAAUGUGGUGGAUAUGGUCGGUCACACAUACUUGAGAAGAAAAUUGUCAUCCUAUGCAUUUGGACAUGUACAGAGCAUAUUUAUCCUCAUGGAAGCCAUUAUAUAAGUCAAACUCUGGACACAGGUUGGGCUUGUUAGAGUCACAUGUUUGGAAAGUUCAUAUUUUUUGGUUGGAAAAUGAAACUAGGAGAAAGAGUAGAGAAAGGUGCCUCAAGCUUGCAUAUAAACCCACAUAUUCUGUAUUUUUACUGUUCUAUCAUUGAAUCAAGGGAACAGUCUGCAUUAUGCGUUUGCUUUCAGAAUCAGUAAUGCUGAUGGGGAUUCGAUGUGUAAGGAACAAACCAAAUGUAAAUUAAACUUAUUUAGAUGUUUUAGAGUCUCCUGUAAAUAUUAUAACCCCUUGAUCAAAGAAAAAGUGCAUUUUCUUGUUAACCAAAAUGUAAAUUAAACUUGUUUGUCUGACGUAAAUAUUAUAAUCCCUUGAUCAAAGAGCAUGUGUAUUUUCUUGUUAACCUAAAUUUGAUGAGAAAUGGAAACGGUCAAAAGUUACAAAUAGGUGUUUCGGGUCAGCACCUUUCAUGGUGAUGUGGAUGGAUUCUGAACUUGCAGAGUGCUGCAAAAGUUGUGCUUUGGUUGACGCAAAGAGCCUGCGUUACAUGGAUUCAAGCGAAUCCUCAAAAUCAGCUGAGCAGAAGUAUCUUCAAAAUUGUUAACUAAUGGUCAAUAGGCAUAGAUAUCCCAUCAAUGUAGGACCACAAGAGUGGGAGAAAGAUUGCUGCAGUUGCACGUUUAGUCAUAAAAGCCUAGGCAUGCUUUAGAACUAUUACCGCUGAAAAAUUUUAACAGGGUCCAUUUUACUUCCAGUAGGUUGUUUCAGUCAAUUUUUACCACGUUCCUAUAAAAAUUUUUCACAUUUGUCUAUUCAAUCCCGGAAAAAUUAUGCAUUGUUAAAAGUGUCUAUCUGAAUCUUGACUAUAUAUAAUGGCGUCAAUUGCUAGGAAUAGCAUACUGAACCAACUGGAAUGCAAUUUUGUUGAAUUCCUGUUGAUCUUACAUUUGCAUAUAAAAGAUGAAUACUAUAAUAUAACCUCUAUUGCAGGAAGUGAUUGGAAAGUCUGUGAAUGGAACCACUUAUGUCGGAUUGAGAGCAAGAACCACAGGGGCUCCACAAAAUCAUUGGUAAGCGGAAACUGUACAGUGAAAUACUACAGUUGCUUAUAUGCAUUAAAGCUCCGUUCUAGUUCUUUCAUAUGCUAAAAUGGUUGCUAACUGCAGGUUUGGUCCUGCUGGAGAUCCAAGAGGGGCAGGCAUAGGGACACCGGAAGCAAUAAAGCUCGUCUGGUCUUGCCAUAGGGAAAUUAUCUAUGAUGUUGGCCCGAUAGCACGGAAUUGGCAGAUUCCUCGUUCUACUUGAGGAUCACUCUGUCUCAAAUGCCAAAUGUCGAGUAUUAGCAAGUGAUUAUGUGGUGUGGUGACCUUUUAAGACAAAAUGCAAUAGUUAUGGAGAAGAAAAAUUUUCCCUCGAGUCUUGAUCUGUUUAUUUGGCUAUGCUGGUUUGGGAAUAAAUUGCAGAAUUCAUAGAUCACACAAUGUAGUCCAGUUGUGUUUCUAUGGCUUAGAUAUGACAUAUCCUGCUGCAGUUACUUUUGACAUUUGCUUUGACCAUGUUUUCAUGCAUCAGUACCGAACACUCUUGCUUCAAAGGCAAAAAAGGGAUUUUAGAUUUUCAAGCUGAUCAGAUGUAUAGCUCGGUUCAGUUACUUGAAGCCAUAACAGAACAUCCCAAAAAAAAAAAGAGGUAAUACUUGAUGCAGGUACAUUCGAAUGAUCACCUGCAGUGAACAAACUCUCUAAUGGUGCAGCAUAUUCCUCAAGGCAAGAUACUGCAAUACGACUGACCAACUGCGCCCCAGUGCCCUCUACAUGACUCGAUUCUGACUCGAAUCCGUGAAGUUUCAAUCCAAAUUCAUUCAUUUCGUGUUAAGUUCGUGUCAUGUUUUCAAUCCAAAUUCAUUCAGAUCGUGUCGAAAAUUGUCAACCCUAUUCUAGUGCCCUCUACAUGACUAGGGCCGUGAAAGCACGAGUUUCCCUACCAACAAGCUGGCUCUCAAGCUCGUUUUUAUUAUGAUCACAAGGAUAAAUACGUGUAUUGGAACAGCCAGAAGACUCAUCUAGUGGCGGGAGAAAGGUGGCGAACAAUAACUGCCCACCAGGGUGGGAAGAUAACUCAGUGUGGCCGUGGACAUGUAGGAACAGGGGCAAAUGAAUGGUACGGCUGUUCCCGGGAUGCCAAGUACAGUAGGAGAAAAACUUUGACUUUCUUUUUUUUUUAUCAUUAAACACACCAAAAAAUCUAUAUAAAAAAAUUCGUCGUGAAUUUUCUUUCUUUUUUGUUUUUUUUUUGGUGCAAAAGAUGGACAAUCUUUCUAUCAUUCUAUAAAAAAAAAAAAAAAAAGACUUGUGGUGUUAAAUUUUGUUAUUACAUUUAUGAGUUUUCUUUUUAACCCACACAAUAAAGAUGAAAUGGCAUCAUCCUCUUAAAAAAAUAGAAAAUACAAAUCAUAAGACACUCAUAAUGAGUACAAAUCUAAUGAAGUCUCCAAUAACACCACUAACUUGAGUAAUUUGAAAAAAAAAUUUUUGCAGGCACAAAGAAUGUAGCUUUUGUUAUUUUGUUCUAGUAUUAACUACUUUUGGUACUUCCACCCAAAAUAUUUUUCCUCUAAAAACAGAAAAAAAAUAUGUAAUUCUAGUGAUUGGUAACCAGGUUAGAAUGAAAUGUCUAUUAGUUUUCCAAACAUUUGGUUUAAUCAAUAUUCAGAUGUUCAGAUAGAAUAAAAUAUAUAGUAUGUACAAGUUUGACUUAUUUGUUGUGAGUUAUAUUAUAGAAAAAAAAAUAAACAAAUUUGCACAAAAGUUAGAAAAAUAGAAAAAAGGAUAAUAAUUUUUUAAAAAACAUAACUGCAAUUAUUAGUUAUAAAAAAAAUCACAAAUAAUAGUAUACGCUCACAAAUAGUAUAAACAUUGGUGGAGUGAAGCUAUGUACGAGGAUAAAAUUACCCUUGAUUAUUUGGGUGACUCUAAGAGAAAGCUAGAAAGGACUUCCUUGUAAAAUUUAUUGAGGGGUAGAGUUCUUUGGAAAAAGAUUGGAUUGAGCAUUCCGAUAGGGAGAGGAGAGAGGGGCGCAUAGGAAUGCGUGGAAUUGAAUUGUUAAAUUUGGAAGUUUUUCUCAUUCUAUAAUAUUUAUGCAGUUUGUAGGACGAAUACACGUAGGGCACUCGUCAAGAUAUAUUUCAGGUGUCAGAUUUUUAAAAAUAUAAAAUUAAUUAGAAAAAAUAAAUAAAUACAAGAGAGAGUAGGUAAGAUUAAAUAAAAAAUAUAUAAAUGAAAGUGAAAGCAAUAAUUGUUAAUAUAUAUAUAUAUACAUUCUAGGUUAGCUGAAUGUUAGAUAUGUUAACUGAGCACUCGUUAGAAAAAAUUUAUUUAUAUAUACCAAAUCAAGAUAAAAAUUGGAAUGUUUGGUAAAUCAAUUUUUAUAUAUCAGGAUGGAAUAAAAUAUGUACAGAAUUAACUGAACUACCCUGGUUUCUUUAUUUUUAAAGAAAAAAAAGAAACGCUUUUUCUUUUUGACCAAAAAAAAUAUAAAAGAUGUAUUGUCUAUGUUAAUAUUUGUACCUACAAAAUCAAUUUUCGGUUUUUCUAUGUUAUUAGUGUAACUACGAGAAAUUUUGACAUGUUCUGUCUUUUAAAAAAUUGAUGUUCUUAUUGAAGCAAUUCAAAUUUAAUAUUAAAUUAAUUCAAAAAUAUAAAAAUAUUUUAAAGUUUUCGUGUUCAUUGCAAUAAUUUAGUAACAUGAAGAAAAUAAGUGAUAUGGAGUCUAGCAUUUUUAAAUUCUCACUAUAUCGUACUUUCAUUAUCCAUAUGAAAUUCAAAUAAGUUCUUCCACAUAUGCACAAAAGUUAAAGAUAGCAUCUUAAAGAUUUUGUUGCAUAGCCAAAAAAAUAUAUAUUUUAAAUAUACGUAAAAUGAUUUUGUUAUACAAAAUGAAAAUCAAUUAUUAAUUAAAGUCACAAUUAGAUGAGCAAAGGAUGCUUGUGUCUAGAAUUGAAGCAAGAAAACUAUAAGGCAAAAACAAAGAUUAUUCCCACUACAUACAAAGCUUAAUUUCUUAUUAGUCUUCCAUAAUUUUUGUCCUUAGGACGGUCCUCCAUCAAUAUAAUCCUCAGGCUUCUCUAUUUCUUGAAGCCAAGCAUACUUCUUUGUGACUUCUUCUUCAGU
This 48095-nucleotide long non-coding RNA is filed under the name Coffea arabica (coffee). Its description in RNAcentral is "long non-coding RNA (CARA_LNC003337)". The stretch from base 25926 to 26032 matches the Rfam family "Plant small nucleolar RNA R71". Lineage: Eukaryota; Viridiplantae; Streptophyta; Magnoliopsida; Gentianales; Rubiaceae. The record is from RNAcentral.